CACCAACUAUUUAAAAUAUAUGAAACAACAAUUGUACUCUAAAAACUUAAGCUAAUAAAAAAUUAUUCUUAAAUAUUUUUAUAUUAAACACUCCCACUCAUGUUUGAGCUCAAGAUUUAUUUGUAGGUUCAUGACGUGAACUUGAAUUAAAUAAAAAAAAAUCAAAAAUUAAUAACAUUAGGAGCUUAUUAUGACUCGAACUAACUGUAUUUACUUCAAGAUUGGUCAUCUACUGCGCCAAACAAACAUGUAAUAUUUAAAUGUAAUCAUGAAUUUUUGGUGCAAUAAUUAAUUCAGAGUUUUAUAUGUCUUUUAAGAGGUGUAGGCAGUUUGAAGUAAUCAAUAAUUUUCAUGUAGUGAGACGUCUCAUAAAUAACUAGCUAUAUAUCUAGCUAGUUUUUUUAAAAAGAAAAUUAAUAUGUUAUCUUCUUUAUUAUUCUUUUUGAAUAUAUAUAUUUUUUUUGAGAAAAAAGUAACAUGCUACCCAUUUCAUUCAUUGGAAUAGUAAACUAAACUACAUGGAUGAGGCAACACGAGCCUCGAAGGGGGCGAAAAAAAAAAUCUACCGGUUACAGUGUUACUUAUCUACUGAAAGAAAUUGCUUUCAUUCAUUCAUUAGUUUUUUAAUUUUGAAUUAAACAUAGCUGAAAAAUGUGAAGCAGUGAACUUAAUUAAGAGUUGGGACCUCAGAUCGAUAAGAACCGUUAAGUCUAUUGCCAUUUGUAUUAGAAACGAUGGAUAACUAGCUAGCAAGUUGAAGGAACUAUAUAUUGGAGAGAGUGAAUCUAAUAAUCCAUUUUGUAAAAGUAAACAGAAGCUUAAUUCUGAAUAUUCUAUGAGAGAGAGAGAGAAAAGGGAUGGGUAUAUCAUAUAUGCAUGUAUGUAUGCAUGUAUAUGUCCUAGGGAUUAUCGAAAGAGGUGGGUGAAGUUACGUAGGGGAUAUGCAUAACCAGCUUUCAAAAAGUUUUUGUGGGAAGUUAAUUUUAUACAUUGCAUGUGAGCUGCAGGUUAGGAAUACGAUACAUCCCAAUUGCCUGCUAAUAAAGACUGCUCCACCUUUCUCUCUCUCUCUCUCUCUCUCUCUCUCUCUUUUCUUUUCCAUCUUUCUUUAUUCCCCAUUCACCUUUCACCAUCUCACAAAUCUAAAAGCACUCCCUCUCUCUUCUAUUCUUAUCUCAACAAACAAAUAAUAAUACUAUUAAGUUUCACUUAUUGUGAGAUCUUAAUUAAGUUCAAAACCUAAAUGAUGAACAAAACGAUAGCAUACUAUCAUGCAUUCUUUCUCCAAAAAAAGAAAAAAAAAGAAACACUAUUAUUUCUCUCCUAUUGCCAUCUCAACAAACAAACAACACUAUAUAUUAAUUACUAAAGUUUGAUCUUUUUUAUUUUAUUUUAAUAAGAAUCAAAAGCUCAACCUCCCAGAGUAUUAUAUACUCACAGUCCUUUCAUCUCGUAUUCAAAUUCAUAUAUAACCCCUCUCCAAUCCCGAUUCAGAUACUCUAUCAUUGAAAUACCAAUUGUUUGGCUUUUAAAUUUUGACAUACCUAUUUGUUGAAACCCCGAAGGAAAACUAAUUAAGAUGCUAUUUUAUGACAACUCUGAAAGAGAAAUUGAGUGAAUUAAUUAAGAAGCUGUGACGAUAAGAAAAGGGAGAGCAUAUUUUGAAGUUGUGACCAUAAGAAAAGGGAGAGCAUAUUUUGAAGCUGUGACCAUAAGAAAAGGGAGAGCAUAUUUUAAAUGGUUAAUUAGAAGGUGCGAAUUAAUUAAAUAAUUAAUGGGGCCACAGUUAUUAAAUAACAAUUUUCUUUUUUCUUAGCAAAUUAACCAGCAAUGUGUACCUGAUCAUAUGAUCUCUAGGAAGUACAAAUUUCUUUGAUUACUUUGCAGGUAAUUAUUCUCUUAUUAAACAAAAGGUGAACCUUUUAGCCCCCUAUCAUAUCAAAGAGGCGAAGUCCCAUUGUUCUAUUUUGAUUUUGCAGAUUCCAUUAUUGGGAAGUAAUUUGACUCCUUUCCAAUUAUAAAGGAGUUAUUGAUGACAUGUAGCCAUGUAGCCAAAUUCAUAGAGGUAAAUUAAUUAAUAAUUUUUACAUCAUAUAUAUAUUUAAGAGUAAUACCGUAAACGUACUAAUAAAUAUUACAACGCUUUACAAACUAGUAUACAUGAGUAACAAGAUGACAUUUAAUUAGUGGAGAAGUACAAAUUACAAAAAGGCAAGUAUGAUUUAAAAUUUCAAAGUUGAAAUCUAUCCAUUGAGUUGUAUAAUUUGUAUAUACAACGUUGUAAGAUUUAUUAAUAAGCAAAACAUAAUUAAGAUAGCUGAAGAAGUUGGUUGUAUUGGGUCACUGUUGGUGGAUCCACUUAAAGAUUUAUUUGGAUUCAUGAGAGAAUUAUAGAGUUGGUUUCUUAUGAUGAAUUGGGAGACGUAGUGGUCCAAAGCUCUCAUGGGGGCUUCAUUCAUAUUCCCCUUACCAUGCGCUUUAAAGAAUUUGAAGUGCGUGAUGGGUAGCAUACCAAGGAAUGGUUUCCUCGAGAUUUACACCGAGGCAAAAAAUUGGUCAGACCCCAACGUUGGUGGAAAGGUCCCUGCAUGGGAUGCCCAUAGACCCACCCAAACACCUUUUGUUUCUCAAGUUUGUGAAACAUACCAAACAAAGUGUACUGUAUACAAUAUAUUUAACUCACUGUAGGUGAUUUUUUUGUCAAUCACCUAUUAAGUCACUGUAAAUAAAGGUUCAUGUACAUCAUGCACUCUACUGAAGGAAAAAAAAAAAAAAAAAAAAUCAGAGAUGUAAAUGUACAUUCCCUUCAAAAAUUGACAGUAAAUCGUACGCGGUUGAAGAUGAAUUCAAAUUAGGCAGGAAAGAUUUUAGUAAAUUACAACAUGCUGCGCGUAAACAUGGUCCAUGUCACGCGAAUACAUAUAAAAUUGGUCGAUAAAAAUACACAAUUUCAAGGAUAGCUGAUUCUGCGUCUUUGAUAUUACAUGUCAUAGUUGAGGUAAACAGAGAGUUCCAUAAAGAUAGUAGGUACACAGACAGAAUCAAGAAGCAUUUUAGUUGGCGCACAACGAACCAAUCAAUUACUAAAAUUAUAGUUGCAGAUAGAGAAUUUCAUCUUCUUUCAAGGUGUACUUCAGGUAUUUGGCCAUAAAUUGGGAACUAGCAAACAGGAUUAUCGGGGCAACACGGUCAUGACCUGGUAUUUGUGGAGAUGAAAAUCUGUUAUUUUUUCUCGGGAGUAGUCGCAAACUGCCAUGCAUGUGCUGCCAUGUGUCCAUAGGUUCUAGGACCCGCUACCUCAUCAGUAGAUAGCAUAUCUGAAAUCUCUUUCAAGUCAUCCUCGCUGAGCUUCACGCUUAAUGAGCCUAUGUUAUCAUCAAGGUUCUUCACCUUCGUUGUCCCUAAAGAUCACAAAAGAAAGAGAAUCAGAUUAACAAAAACAAAACUAUCUAAACAGUGUUGGAAGAUGCUAUAUACAACUCGGUUAACUCUUGUGUCUGUGGUUUGUAAACAAGCACUGUUUUCUACUUCCUCAUCGUUCUUUUAGCAUACUACUCUUUUGUGAUUCAAAGUACACUUGUAAAUAAAUUCGACCCUUGAUAUAAUUAUAAGGUUAUUUGUGUUGAUAUAAUUAUACGGUUAUUUGUGCAUAAAAGAAAUCUCUCUCCCAAACACAGAGACAGACAGAUUUAUAAAGUUAUUUUAGUAUAAAGCUGUUUAUGGAGGCAGGGCUCGUUCCACCAAGAUCUACACUUGUAUAUGCCUCUGUUCAAAGAUGCUGAUCUGUACAGAUAUUUGAAUAAUCAAGGUUAAAGCUCGACUGAUCAAGCUUUUUUCAUAGUGUCCGUUUCUAAGUUCUGUAGUAAUAGUUGAGCAACUGAGGGUUGGGCUCGAUUCCUAGAGGAUUGCUCUUCCUAAAAAUUCUGAACUAUCUUUGACUUACUGUGGAAAAUAGGAUCUUGAGGCUAUAAAUAAAUCUCCUACGGACGUCUAGCAACUAUAGUAAGGACUCUUUCUAAGAUUUUUAAGAAUCCUGUGGGAGAAUUUUGCUGGAAGAAAACUUUUGUUUCCACUGGGAUUUUCUUGCAACUUACCAUAAAUUAUACCUUUUUGGGCUUCCUGUAUCAAAACUCUCUUGGAAAACCACUUCAUUACUUUCCCACUCAUGAAUUCCACCGGAAAUAGAUUUGAAUAGCCUUAAUGGAUUCAAAGAAGAGGUAAUCUUCUCGGUUCUACUCGUACAAAAAUUGAAAGAUGCAAGCUAAGUUCAAGAGCCCACAAUUUUUCUGUGUUCUCAGAGCCAUUCAACAGCCAUGUCUAAGCUUUAUAUCUUGAACAAUGGUUAUCCUACACAAUGUAGUAUUGAAAUUUAAUUUUCUGAUGAAGAAUUUUCCACAUAACAAAAAAUCUCUCACUGUAACUUAUAAUUGCUUACAUUUGUGGUAUCAAUACACUAAACAUCCCAGAUUAAUCUAAAAACAUUUCAGCUUCUAUAUUAGAGACAUAUUAUUUGUCAUCAUCAUAUCCUAAUUGUGUGGCAUCAUGCUCUGUUAAGACAAUCAAACCAUGUAAACCGCCUUUCUUUCUCAAGAAGAUCAUACCAUGUAACAGAUACAGCAACAAAAAAGUGAACGUAGAGCCAAGAUUGCAAAGAACUGAGAGGAACUUGUAAUGGACAAUAGGUCAAAAUACUCAAAGGCAGAAGAUAAGUCCAUAACCAUGAAGAUCCAUGUGAAAGCAGAUGUAGUAUUAAUAAAAGUUCAAAAGCUCAAUAAUUAUGAAAUGCUGGCUUUGGUAACAAAAUAGAUAAGUUAAAAGGAGUGAGAGGUAUAGCAAAGCUAGUCAUUACUUGGACAAACACAUGAAUUGAAAUAGAUGAACUAUUAACUGAUAAAGAACUGAUUAUUAAGAUAUAUUGUGCAAAUGAAACAUCAUUAUCGCAUUUAACCAAAUCUUACAUAAGUAGAAUCAUAGAAUUUGUAAGUAUUCAAGAUCAAGGAGCUAAACAUAUAGAGAAACUGCAAGAGAAACAACUACAGCCUUUAUGACAUCCAGGAACAAGGAGAAAGAAGAGAGCUAUUUGUCUAGUAACUCCCAAGUAAACUAUAACAGCCAUGUACUUCUCUAAAUCAUGCAUUUUUAAAAAAAGGGUUGGCAUCUAGAUGAUACCUAAUGCCUCCAAUUUUGUAUUACAACUAAGUGAAAAUUCUCAGACCAUUAGUAAGUAUUCUAACUGUCAGUUUGUUCUUCGUUUAGUUUACUAAUCUUAAUAGACAUGAUUUACCCAAGGGACUAUGAUGAUGAAUGAAUAUGUUGUUCAACGUCUCCAUUCUCCAAUCAAGAAGCAUGUAUGGUCAACAGAAGCAUCAGGAGAUAUCUACAAUGCAAUGAAUACAAUCAUCCAUUCCUUUCCCACUCCCCCCUGAACUCACUGCUUAGGUGGAGUGCGCAAUCCUAAAAAUCAUGAUUAUAAGAAUCUAGCUUUGGACUAUACUCAAACUUCUUGGUUGCAAUUAAAAAAAAAAAAUCCCAACACAUCACAACUUAUAGCUAUUUUGACAUCCCCACACAGGCCACAAAAUACUGAGCUAAUUCGACUUCUAAGUUAGGCAGGUAGAGCAUUUCAAAAUUUUUAGAGUAAAAUGAAUAAUACAAAUGAGCGGACUCAAAACUCCUAUACUAUAUUUUCUUUGUAUAAUCAAAGGUUUUUACAACAAGCUAAAUAAGCAAUAGAAAAACUUCAUAUUUCAAACUCCUUACCAGGGAUUGGGACCACAUCAUCUCCUUGGUGAAAAACCCAAGCUAGAGCAAGCUGAGCAGGGGUGCAAUGAUGUUUCACUGACAAUUUCUCUAGUCGUGCAUAUAAAAUCUUGUUCUUUUCUAGGUUCUCUCCAACGAACCUAGGAUGUGAAUUCUACAAACAAUGUAGCAUGAUGUGAAUUUUCAGAUACAAAUCUUCAGCAAGAGACAUUAAGAAUUGAUGGAAUGAAUUUCUAUACCAAGAAACUUUCUGAGGGUAUAUUCUCUACAACUGCUUUUCCACCAAAGAACCCGCGACCAAGAGGACUGUAAGGAACAACCCCAAUUCCAAGUUCCCUGAAAUCAAAUUAGCCAUUUUAGAAAACAAAGACAUUAUGGGGCAUCCAAUAAUGUUGUGGAGUGAUUCAUGAACAGGACUUGGAAGGAAAUAGAUUUUUGAAGAGUUAAACUGCUGUCCUUGAAGAAGGUUUAUAAUCUUCAAAAGAGUUUAUUGUUUCUCAUGCUACACCACUCCAGAAUAAACAAUUCUUGCACCAGGACAACUAGAAAGUUCUUCGAAGAAGCAACAAGGGGAAGCCAAAGUAUCAAUUUUCUUAUUCUGCCAGAAGGGGAAGCCACAAUCCUUUUCUUUUCUCGCAUGUGAUCAAACUGAAAUAUUUUAUAUACACAUAAUUACUAGGCCAACUAAAUGAUCUUUUAGACCCAUAAACUGAAAAGGGACCAUACAUUGUCUCAAACCUAAAUUAGUUCCAAUCUGGAAAAUGUUAGAAACAUGCAUUAGUAAAGAAGAACUGGAUAUAAGUGGUAUCACGAAGGAAACUUGCGCCCAAUCAGACACCAAUUAGGAUAUUACUUGGUACUUGAAGCCCGCUGCAGCUUAAAAGUUAAGCAUGCAGAAUUGGCACAACAAAAUAUAUCAAUCUUCUACACAAUAACCAUACUCUUCGUGGUACUUAGGUGUAAGCACUUGAGGCCCCAUGGUUAAGGCCUAUUUUACUAAAUUUCAAAUACUAGGAGGCUAGUUGGGUUUAUAUGAAGCUACCGUUCUCUAACAGCCCUACAUCGUUUUAAAAAGAAAAUUUUCACCAUAGAUUCUUAGGGAGCAGCGCUAUUUCCGUAAUACAUAUAUAUGAUCCUUUAUUCAUUAAAAAGUAGACAUAUUUGCAGAGAUAAUUGCAGAUUCAACAGUAAUUUCUUUAAAACUUACGAGCAGUUACAAAUAAGGCACAAGUAAAUCAUGCUUAAGAGUUCCAAAGAGACCUGCAGAGAGGCACUAUCUGAUCCUCAAUUUCGCGAGUCCACAGAGACCACUCCAUCUGCACUGCAGUAAUCGGAUGAACUGCAUGAGCCCGCCUGAUAGUAUCCGGGCUGGCCUCAGACAGCCCGAUAUAUCUUACCUUCCCUUCUUCCACCAGCUUCUUAAGUUCCGCCAUCUACAUUACACACAGGCAAAAGCACAAACACCUAACCUGCAUCCCAACAAGUACAUAAUAAUUGGCACAAAGGAACCAUAGAUUAAGAUUCUUACAGUAUCCUCUAUAGGAACCGAUUUGUCCACUCUGUGCUGAUAGUACAAAUCAAUGUAGUCAACUCCGAGCCGCGUAAGGCUCGCCUCGCAGCAUGAGCGGACAUAAUCCGGCGUGCCCCUGACGGUCAUGCCGCUCCCAUCGGCACGCGCGAUGCCAAAUUUUGUGGCCAAUUGUAUAUGCUCCCGCGGCAACUGCUUCAAGGCCUGCAUAAAAACCAAACCUUUUUCACUUCCUGUUCACUUCCAACUAAUCAUACACUUCCGAAAUGAGGCAAAAUACAAUUUUGCAUCGAGAAUCCAAUAAAACGAGGGAGAAAGCAACCUUUCCGACCAAGAUUUCGUUGGUGUGGGGGCCGUACACAUCGGCGGUGUCGAAGAAGGUGAUCCCUUUGCUGAAGGCGUACUUGAUGAUGGAAAUCCCGGCUUCUUCGGAGAGCGGAGAGUUGUAAAUUCCCGUGAGGCCCAUGCACCCAAAACCCAACUUGGAGACCUGGAAAAUUAACAACAAAAUUAUUCGUUAAAUUAUUGGUUACAAAACGAUUGAGGAGAGAAAAAUGCAUACUUUUCCCUACCUCUAAACCCUGGCUCCCCAGCUUCACUCUGGGGAUUUGGGUUUCGGUUUGCGCUGCCAUGUCUCGGCAAAGAAAAAGACAAGGGCUUAAGCUCUUGGCUUUAGAAGUAGAGACUCGGAUUAAUGUGAAAGAACACGAGUUUAAAUAGAUAGCCCUAUAAUCCCACUCUCGUCACUGUACACCUCACGGUGUGGACUUUCUGAGUGGUCGUUUGAAGGUGGUUUUUUUUUUUUUCCGGUUGGGUUGUGGUUGUGGCACGGCGAGGUGUCAUUGUUCUCCCUGGGUAAAAAUGCAUGAAGGCCCCUCAACUAAAUGAUAAUCUAAAAUAGCUUGCCAACUUUUAAAAAAAAAAUUUAAAGAAAAGUUCAUCACCUUUCAGUGAUGUACAUCAAAUAAAUAGAUUAAAAUUCUGGGCUAAAUUUAAGAACAAUUUUAUCGGCUUUUCAGUUGAUAGAAAAUUUAGUUCAAAUACGCAGUAGCUGAUGAAGAUACUGAUUUUGAUAUUACUAAAAAAAUAAAAUAAUUUAGAUUAAAAUAAUGAAAAUGUAAAUAAAAAAUACUAAUUGAAGCACAAUGGACUAUUACUCUAUUAGUGAGGGGUAUUUAUGCGUUAUAGGCUAGCAACGACGAAAUUGUUUGUUGGGCCUCUAACGGGCCGAAGCCAGUCCAAAACCAUUAACUAGCGAACCAUACAGCGCCAAGGCCCGGCCUGGCCCGGUCUGGUCCCAGCCUAUUUGGCUCUCCCCUACCCCCGAAGAGUGAGACUUAACAGAGACGAGUCGAUCGAGCGACCGGAGGGAGCGACGCUCGUCCCUGCUUUUCCUCUUGUGAAACCAUUAGGGGAGCUCGCUCGAAACCCUAAUUUGGAUUGGAGGAGGAAACCGUAGCGAGAGAGAGAGAGGAAACAGGAGAGAGGCAUUAGAGAGAGAGAGAGAGAGAGAGAGCGAGAGAGAGAGAGAGAGAGAGAGAUGUCGAAGAUGGAGGGGAGAAGGAAGAAAUCAGUGGGAUCGGCGAGGAGCCUCCUCGCUAUAUCGCUGGUGAUUCUCGCGAGCUUCCUCCGCAGCGCCUCCGCGCUCUCCGUCACCGUCGCGGACGAGGAGUGCAUCUACGAGUUCGUCCCCUCCGAGGGCGACACCGUCUCCGGAAACUUCGUAGUCAUGGAUCACGACUCCUUUUGGGAUUCGGAUGAAUCCGGGGUCGAUCUCGUGGUGAGUUUCUUCUUCCUUCUCAUCUUUCCAUUUUAUUUUAUUUUUUGCAUCCAAAUUUUGGAGCAAUUGUUGCUUGCGCGAUGUGUACCCGUACAUAUCCACAGUUAAUAUGUAAUAUUUAACAAUUAAUAUUUUGAAAUCAAAAUCUAAUUCGAGCUUAUAUGUAAAUUAAAAUUUCAAUCGUGUAAACAUCAAGUUGUUUGAAAAAUCACAUUCAAUUUAUAGGUACUAAAAAUUUGUCACUUCUAAUACGUGGGCAUUUAUAUAUAUACGCACUUACGCAGGCAUUUUGAAGCGCAUAAAACACAUUCACUUGAUUAAGCCACCAAACUAUGCUGAAAUUUGCUAUAAUUUCUCUAAAAUUUGGCUCUUUUUGGCGGUCUUAUAUGAACUCAAUUUCUCUAAAAUUUGGCUCUUUUUGGCGGUCUUAUAUGAACUCAAUUUGCAAAAUUGGUUAAUUUUGAAUUAGAUCUGUCUUGCCUUCUUCUUUUUUUUUUUAAUAUUGAAAGAAUUUGUUCAAAAUCAUGUAGGUGACUUCUCCAGGAGGCAAUGUUGUGCAAUCAUGGAAGGAAACAUCCAGUGAGAAAUUUGAGUUUAAAGCUCCAAGGCCUGGAAUGUACAAGUUUUGCUUUCAUAAUGCGCAUGAUGUGCCUGAAACUAUUUCAUUCUACAUACAUGUUGGACACAUCCCCAGUGAACAUAACCUUGCAAAAGAUGGUUAGUGAAUACAAUGUCUUGCUGCUAAUUUGUUCUUGCUUAAAAGUUAGUUCUGUUUCUAAGAUAAUAUAAAGUAAGCAUAUUCUUGUUGAUCACCAUUGAAUAAGUGCAACAAGCAUUUUAAGUAUUGCAGAUUCUGUAAAAUGCUAAGAGUGAUCCUCCCAUCAUCCAUUUUCACUGAGGUGCUAGAUUGCACAGUUGUUUAAUACUGCAUCUCAUAUUAUUAAAGAAAAACUUUAAGUGAUAAUUCUCAAUUCAUUCUUCUUCUCUAUAACCAUAAGUUGCUAGACCUUCCUAGUUCGCAACGGAGAGGUUCCAGGAUGAUAUAUUUGAUUAUGUUAUUAUGUUUGUUUAUGUAUUCUUUUAUUGCAGAUCACUUGGAUCCCAUAAAUGUAAAGAUUGCAGAGCUAAGGGAAGCACUGGAAUCCGUAACAGCUGAGCAGAAGUACCUAAAAGCACGAGAAGCUCGACACCGCCGUAGUAAGUCACUAAUACAACUCACAUAUGAUUUCUGGCUUCUGAGAAUUACAAUCUCUGGUUAUUUGUCUGUGUAGUACUUCUAGCUGUAUCUUUGCUAGUUUAGGAAGGAGAGAUUUUAGUUGUUUGUGAAACUUAGGAUGGAUAGAGUUUGCAUACAUUUGGUGCCGAAAAUCCUUUUUAUCUACAUGUACAAAAUUAUUGACUGAUUCUCUAACAAAUGUCUAUUCUGAACUGAACCUCACAGAAAAUCUAUUUUAACCUAAUGAAAGAAGUUACUUCCAAAGUAUAACUAAACCUGAAAUGAGAGGAAAAGGUUGAUUCUUUAUCCCAACAUAAGCAGCUACUUAUAUUUAUAAGCUUGUCCAUCACAGGGACUUCUUAAUACCUUAAUGGCCUGGUUUAUAUCAAUGAUUGUUUGCAAUAAUUUUUACUAGUCAGACAUGCACAUGCAGCAUAAAUAUUGUUGUAAGCAGCUGGAGAUGCAGCGCAAUCUCUUAGUUGCCAGUCAACUCUACCCAAGUAACUAAUACUGAUCCAUGAUAUAAUGAUAGGCUUCACUCAAAUUCAGUAGAAUCAAAGGGGCCUUUGGUCAGAAGAAAAAAGGUGUUGCUGUCAAAGUUUCUCUAUUACAUCUCUUCUAGAUCUAGUUCCUAAAUUCUGCUUAAUUAAUGACCUGGGUUCGGCAGAGAAGAAAGCCUUUUAUUUCUUUUAAGAUUACAUUUCAAUAUGAACAUCAUUUAUAACCACAUUUGAGUUCAACUAAUGCCAAAUCCAUCCCAAUCGUAAUAUGCUUGAGUAUUCUAGUUCAUUUCUUUUUUAUUUGCAACACAAAUAACCUUUUCAAGAGGAAACAAGAAAUUUGGAAUAUAUUACGAUACUACCUAGCCAUUCUAUUGACUUUUUAAACCAAGAAUGCCUUGUGUGAGAACAAUACAAUCUGAUCUUAACCUGUAGGCAUUGUCCGCAUAGGUUAGUUUGGGAAUCAUGGAUUGUUUUUUUUAUGCAUAAUAUUCUACAGGGAAGAAAAAUAUUCCCAAUUUUGCAGCACAAACCAUACCCUCUUUUAUGCAUUUAAUUGAGCUGCAAUUGCUUUUGUUCAUUAAAUGUGUGGGUUAUUCCUUACGUGUAUAAAUCAUCCAAUGCAGCAAACGAUAGCACCAGAAGGCGUCUAAUCUUCUACACACUGACGGAGUACCUUGCACUUGUAUGCGCAAGUUUAUUUCAGGUAGUUUACAUUCGCCGCCUGUUCAGUAAGAAUGUGGGAUACAACAGGGUAUAGGCCCAUUGUAUUUUUGCCUGGCCUUCGAACUAACUUUUAGCGAAUUAGAUUUUAUUUAUUCUUUACCUAGAAUUGAAUUGAAGGAUAUUGCUAUAAUUUAAUCUUUGUUCCAUUGUAAUUUGCUAAAUAUUUUUUAGUUUGAUCUCAGAGAUUUUUUUUUUUGUUCUUUCUUCGGGGGUUCAUUAUUAGACUACAUAAGGUCAUUAUUUGAGAAAUAUGACUUUAUGUCUCUUCAUUUGGUAAAAGAGGCUUUCUUUUCUUUUAUGAUGUUAUGCAAAUUAUGUGCAGCAGCUUUGCUUGUGAGUUGUUUAAAAUCGAAAGAAUAACCUCAAGUUUAAGAGAGCUAAUCGGAGCUAAUCAGCAUUCUUCAAGUCAAUGCAUGAAUUCACAACAAAAUAGAGCACGAAUAUAACUAGACAAAUUCAUAGAUCCAGUAAACGUACUUUGACAUGCUACAACUGUAAUAUGCAUUAGUUAAAAGUGCUUAGCUUACCUUCUCUCCAUUACCAAUCAACUGGAGAAGAACAAGGCCGUCAAGUUCGUUAGCACCUUGUCUGAUAGCACCAGUUAAGACAACUCCCGUAUACUACCACAAGCGUUGCAAGAAAGGCGAAAGCCCUUAACCUAAAUUACCUGAAAGGAUCAAUCCUUCGCAUCCAUGAUGCCCCCCGGUGUUAUCUGGAAAACGUGCUCUUACUAAGUCAAGGUAACUUAAAACAUCCUUCAAAAUUAUUAAACAUUUUUGUUAGUAGUGCGUGUUGGAAAGCACAAUUUAAUCCUUAGUAGUAGUAAUCAUACUAAACAGUAAUUAAAGCAACAAUAGGAAUUUAGCAAAGGAUAUGGCUUCAGCCUCAGGAAGAUUAGGGGCGUCGAAGAUCUUGCAGACGCGCUGCUCGCCUUUCCCUUUCCUCAGCAUCAGACGGAUAGUGGAUGCAUGCGCUAGCACGUGCCCUCCCGCCGGCUUCUUUGGGUCCGAUAUGAACAUCCCUCCACCCGGAUCCGCAAUCACUGCCCAAGUUACCAAAUGAACCCCAUUCUCUCCACUUGUACUUUUGCUUUAUUUAAACACGAACAAACAUAAUGGUCAAGGAUUAUACCUUGAUUGGUCAUGUAAACUGCGACGUUGAAUUCUUCGGCGAUCUUCGUUAGGCGGGAGAGCAUCUGCGCCAACUUUUGCUGCAAUCACUUCAGUUGGAUUAGCAACCAAGGACACAUGGCGGACGAUGUGACUGAUUUUAAGGAAUCUGCUUGUACCUGGCGCUCUGCAAGCUCCCCCCUUCCAGAGAAGUCGACGCGGAACAGAGCGAUGACAGAAUCCACGAUCUGCGCUCAGCAGAAUUGGUCAUUUUAGAAGACAUAAGCCAACCAGUCUUCUUUCAAAAAGCACAUAUGGACUGCUGCUAUUUGAUCUCAAUAGGAAGAAAUGAGCUGCUCACCAGAAGCCUGAAGGGCUCUUCUGCCAUUUUCGCAGCCAAACCCAGAAGCAAGUUGUACUGAUGCUCAUACGUAUACGCUCGCGCAUAAAUGAUCUUAUAUACAAGCCAUAGAAAUUACAACUCAUAAGAAAGCAACCAAAAUGAUCCUGAGUUUAAAAAAAAAAGAAAAAAGAAAAAAAAAGAACAAGGGGCAGGAAAAUGGUUGAAAUUAUUCUUUGGUAUCCUACAUUAUCCAGGACAGCGUUGGCAUCCAUCCCAAACCUUUCUGCAAUCGGCACAAUACGAUCUGGUCGGCUAAUCAUAUCUGUUAAGGCAAACCAUGGUAAAGGCUCUGUUCACAUAGCUUAAUGAUCAGUGCACUAGCAGAAAUUUAACAAUGGUUAAAGGAUACAACGUUCCCUCGGUGUCGAUGUAAGCGACCUUCCCAUUGCCACCGUGCAUGUGGAUCGGAAGCUGGAAAAUGCGAAAAUGUUACUUGUGCAUUUUUCUGUUUUAAUCUUAUUGAUACAUGAAUUAAGCAAAAAACCGCCCAAUGUCAUAUAAGGGAAUCAUCAAAGAACCUGGGUGGAUACACAGAGGGUGUGGGCCAGCUGGGUCUUCCCGGACCUUAAAAUAGGGAAGAGGGUAAUGGAGGUGCGGGACUAAGGAUAAUGUGCCUAAAUAAAAGGAAUCAAAUAGUAAAAUUUAGAAAAAAAAAAUGAAACAGCAGAAUAUCUCAACCGGAAUUCGCCAAAUGCCUCGGUGAUCGAGAGCGUCUCAAUUCCACCUUCACAAAAUGGUUGGCAAAAAUGUUCCACGUUAGCAAGCUACAGAUUAGUACCAAUACACUUUCAACAAAUUGAGCAAACUCACCGCCAAGUAGCUCGUCGAGGGCUUGGCUCCCAGUUGUUAUUCGAAUCACCGAUUUUCGCUGAAAAAGGAAAGUUUAAACGAUUUAAUUGAUUAAAACGUGGCCGAGACCUAGAGGCUCGAAACGACGGGAUGAUCCGAGAAGUCAAAAGCAGCGAAUCAGAUCAGAGGAAGUUGAGCGACAGCUCGGAUCGUCCAAUGAGCAAAGAACAACACAAAGGUUAUGCGGCGUACGUUAGCCUAUUUCAAUGCAAUUUUAAAUAGAUGAGUACCCUAAGCAGUAGAUCGCUUCCCGUCACAUAGCCCAUGUUCUACGAAAGAGACGAACCAAAUUGAAAAGGAGGGUUGAGAACAAAUAGAUCAAAUAGAAGUGCAAAAUAGCAGAAAAUGUUUUAAGAUAAAAUUUGAGCCCUAACCACAAGCUUCUCUGCAGCUUCACAUAUUUUAUCGACCUUCGCUUCGGACAAUCCCUUUAUUCCUGUCAAGCUCUGCGUAUAGGCAAAGUUGAAGACAAAUCCUCGAGAUAUCUAAGAUAAUGUGUUAAUCCAAGGCGAUCUGUGGGCACAAACCUUCUUCGUGUGCAUCAUUAGGCCAUUACAAGUGUAGAUCCCCGCGUCCUGAAGCUUCUUGAUGUCUCCUGCAUUGAUCCCUUGAGAAAUCACUGCAGAAACCACACAAUUAUGGUAAUAAACCGGUCGGUUCUAGAGAAUUUGAAUUGGAAUGCUUGAAACUGUAACGGAAGCUGCUAAUGAUGGGAGAUCGGGUUAAUUUAUCAUAAAAUCGAUCUAAACACUGUUCACAAGCUAAUAAUCGAAUCAAAGGAUGGCAAAAAAUGUUGUCGAUCUCCAACUAAGCAGAAAAAUCACAAGAAUUCAAGCGUAGAUCUCACAUUUGUCGAUGGAUUCGAAGCAAUCUUCUUCCUCCUCUGCUUCCUCUCGAUCCAGAAGCUGCAGCUGCCCCUGGUCUUCGAAUCUGAGAUCCAUCAAGCAACCAAAGCAUAGAGAUCGCUUAUCCCAGAGAUAUUGAAACCAAGGAAGAAGAGGAAGAUGAAGAAGAAGAGGGAUAGGAGGAGAGAUGCGCUAUAACUUGACGUCGAUCAUCGUCUUGUUUCAAAUUCCCGCGGAGAGAGAGAGAGAGAGAGAGAGAGAGAGAGCAUUUGAAAUGUGGGAUGCAGUGGGGUUCAUAUAUAAGAGCUCCGGACCCCACGAAACUUAUUCAAAUGAGUUGAUAAGUUCCCCAAAUCCGGGCGUUUUUUAAUUAAUUUAAUUCCGGGUUUAUUUUCGCGGCAAAGUUGAUCACUGGGGCUACGCAGCGUAGGGCUACUGGACCGUUGAGGAUGGAUUGGUACAAGGAUCUAAAGGGCCCAACGUGAGCCCAAGUAUGGCCUAAUACUAUGGGCUUCACAUGCCAAACUCGUUUCUAGGGCCAAAACAUUGUGGGCUCGAAGACAACAUCACCCUUUACGAUCUUACAGUAUUACUCUCGCUGUGUUCUCUGAGCUCAAAUCUGCGUCGUCUUCGCUCGAUUUUUAGGGCUCCCAAACAAAGCGACAAAGGCUCCGUUGGUGCACAUUUCGGAACUCUCUUUUUUUGCAAUUUUAACUCUUUAAAAUGCACUCUAGUGUUGUGAACCAGGUUUUAUGAUAGUGUUGUGUACGCAAUUUUUGCUUCUUAUCGCUUUACAUGAUGUGAAUUUGUGUACCAAAGAGAAGCAGAGUAGUGAGGAUUGGGAUUAUAACAACCAUGUGAGUAUUAGAUAUUUGAUAGCAUAAAUGCGUAAUUAAUUUGUAAUGGUGUUAAGAACUUAUGCUUCUCAUUGCAAGAAUUUUUGUGGCUUCUAAAUUGUUUAAUUGAUUGUUAGAUUGGUCAAAUUAUCCAGUGGAGUAUGGCAUAUUUAAGUUUUCCUUGUUGAUAUCCUAGAAUUGAGGUGGUUAUCCCUUGCAUUUGUUAGUUUCUGCAUAUGUUUUGUGUUUCAGUGUUACUAGGGCAAUGAUUUCUUUGGUGACUUUUGAUGUGUGCAAUGAAUAAGUGCUGUAUUUAAAUUAUUUUAAAUUAGCUUACUUUUCAAAAAAAAAAAAAGUUUGAGAAAGGUUUCAUAUUGGGGAAAAGCUGUUAAAAAAAUCUGAUGCUUUACUUGAUAUCUAAGCGUCAAGGACACUGACACGGGACGCGACACGACUCGGACACCGUGAUUCGGCAACUUUCAAAAAAUUAGGACACGGACACGGCAUGAGUAUUGCUAAUAAAAUAUAAUAUUAUUAAUAUAAUAAUAUAUUUUUAUUAUGUAUAAAAUAUUGAUUUUGGUAAAAUAUUAUUAUUAUUUCUCUUACGAAUUAAAGUUAAUACAAUUUUUAUUGAUAGUUCAUAUAUUUUAAGAAAAGAAAUUAUCCACCAUACAUNCAGAGAAUCAGUAAUUCAAGUCUGGAGUAAUUAUUCGAUUUUGAACUAUAAAAAUCCGGUGCACAUCGACAAAGAUAUCUGAUAUAUAUAUAUAUAUAUAUAUAUAUAUAUAUAUAUAUAUUUUAGUUGUAUGUAUUAUAAAUCGGCAUUAAAUGGGCGUCCAAAGAGUGUCCACAUCGGACACGUGUCCGACACGGACACGUGCGCGUCCAACACGGACACCCGAGGCUUACAAAAGUGUCCGUGAUACAUAGCUUGAUAUGAUAUUAGCUAUUGUAGGUUAUUGUGGUUGCUGCAAUUUCGUGUAGGUUAGAGUACUUAGAAGAAAGGAAGAGAGAGGGAAGAGGAAGAGGAAUUAAGAGAAAAUAUUUUUUUUGUCAUUUUUGUUGUAAGUUAAUUACAUAUUGGGAUUGCUAGAAUCUGUUUCAGCAUGGCUCAUUUGCCAAUCUGUUUUCAUCAUAGUGACGGUUGAGUAUAUCCUUUGCAUCUUUUUGUUUUGAUGAACUGCUGUGCAUAUCAAUAUGCAGUUGAAUUAGUAUUGCUUUUAAUUGCUAGAAACUAGGGCAAAACAGAGAGAAAAGGAAAACUUGGAGCCAUAAGAAUUGUAUUAACCCUUUUUUUAGGAUUUGCAGCUGGAAAAUCUGUGAUGUAUAUAUAUACGAAAUUUUGUGUCUUUAGGACCUGUAGGUCAUUUAUGUAUGCAUGAUAAAAGAUUAAUGGCUGGUUAAGAGAAGGUUCCAUGGCCUCGCUCAAGUGAUCCUCAUUUUAGUUAUGUGCCGGCGCACCCGUUUAGUUCUUUCACUUACGGUAUCAAUGCUUCCUUAAAAUGUUAAUGUUUCUAAAAGUGUGAUAUAUCAAUUAGAGGUGUUUUAUGAAUUCAACUUUAACAGGCUUUCUGCAGGUGGUUUACUUCUUUUUGUUCAGUGAGGAGCCAUAAUUCAAUAAGGACUAGGACCACACCUGCAGCUUAUGAUUGGACCGCUCUCACUAGGGUCUCUUUCAAGUAAUUCCUGCUUUCAUUUUUAAUAUGUUCCUCUUUCUACUUUUCUUGAUUUAUUUUACAUGCCAAGCACUUUAAUUUUUUUUUGUUCUACCACUUGUUUCUUUUCUUGGUACUUUUUGGUUGUGGGUAAUGAUUAGUGUCAUUUUGUUACUUUUUAUUUUUCUUUUUCUUGUGUUAUAUCAACUCCACAUUGUAAUUUAGGUUGGAAAUUGUAUCAAGUAUCAACUAUGUUUCUUAGUUCUUCUAUAGUGGAAAAACUGUGUUAGUGUAGUAGUUUUGGUUCCUUUUCAGCUUCUGUCAUUUCAUCUGCAACUUGUGCAAAAGAUGCUUCAUUAAGGUGCAGUUUGGAAUCUCCUUUACUGCUUUAUGUAAACAACGGUGGCUUGGUUUCUCCUUUUUUCACGAAACUGCGAUUCUAGACUUAUCUGAUCUUGGUAUUUUCAUUCUGUUAAUUAAAUUAAAGUGGUUUUCCCUUGUACGUUAAACAUGUGAAGAUUGUGCUCAACUCUCCUUCACCAUUUGAAGUCUGACUAUAUUAGUUCUGAAAAUGACAUCUCUCUGGCCUUGGUAACCAUUUUACCGGUCUCCACCUUCACCCCUUUCUUCUUCUUUUUCUCUCUCUUUUUUUAUAAAAAUAUAUGUGUUCGAUCUUCCGGUUUGUGCAUCGUUUUUUUAAUCUUAUUUUUAACUUGGACGGUAUAUUUCAGUUAUUUAUUUUUGCUCUCUCUUUUCUUCUCCCUUGCUUUUCUCAUUUUGUUCUUAAUAUUUGAUUGUCGUUUUCCUUUUUUCCCUGUGGGAAUAUUGGAACCAAAUUGCGUGACAAUUCCUUUAUCACUUCUUUGCGGGCUACCUAUGAGAGGAGCUCAUUUCUAUAAAGCUGUAACCAAAGGAACUCAGGCAUCAAUCUUCUGUUUAUGAAGAUGUGUGCCUCUACCAGAUGGCCACUAUGAUAAAACAGUGGGAGACAAUAUAUUCAAUUUUACUAAUCUCCCUUUCUUCGUUUGGAUGUCCUACUUUGUAUAAGCUAUGUUGAUUUUCAAUUUUUUUCAUUGUUGCGCCUAUUGUCAGUUGACUUUGUUACCUGAGAUUUUACCCCAAGAUUUGCUUAUCCUUUUGUUCUGUGCGCCUGUGCUUUCAAUUAAUUAUGCAUCUAAACUUCUGCAAUGCAUUGAACUAGCCCUACUCCCUUUCCCAUUCUCUUGUUCUCCACACAUGUUGUUGUUUUCCUUUUCUUCACUUUACUCUUCUUUUCUUUCUUUUGACAAUACUAAAUUCAUUGUUGUUAUUUGUGGCGGAGGGAUUGAAGCCUUUUGAGAAGUGCUCAAGGGAAUAAUUGAAGCUGUUAGCGUGAUCUACUUUUUAAUAACCAAAAUUUUAGCACCAAGCAUAUUCGUUUGUGUGAAACAUAACGAGACCGAUCUUUUGGCUGAAUCAUCUUUUACUAGGUCACCCUUUGACAGCUUCACUUGUUCCCUGUUGGUUUCUCUAAUUGGACAAAACAAAUAUCUUGGUCAAAAUACAAAAGGAAUGUGAAAAAAAGAAGAUCAACCAUGUAUAUUCUUCAUGUUCCUUGUCCACACAUGGCCAUGCUUAAUGAUCCUUCUUUUUAUCAUUCAUGCUUCUUCUCUGCUGACCUCAUGUUCAACAAGGACGUGGGGGAUCUUAUUCUUGCGUUCUACUUUUCUUUCUAAGAGGAUGUUAGUAUCUCUGUUGUUUAAUGGCAUACCCAACGCUGUUUGUCUAACACUGAAUCUCAGGUGGAAGGGAAAUAGAAAUAUGACUUAGUAUAGAAGUUGAUCUACAAAUUCUCAUCAAGUCGUUUGUUUAAUUAGUAUUACUUAUCUGUAGGUUCUUAAGUCCUUCUAGGCCUUACCUGUGUCUCUCCCAAGUACAAAACAAUUGCAGGUUGGUUGCCAUUCAUUUAUUGAAUCAAUUGCAAAUUCUGUUCAUUGUAGCUAAUCCUUGAAUAAUUAUACUAAAGCCUCUCUUAAUCCAACCAAGGAAUGGAAUACUCUAACCAUGAACAGAACAAUGCUGCUUACAAAGUGAAAAAAUCCAACCAAGGAAUGGAAUACUCUAACCAUGAACAGAACAAUGCUGCUUACAAAGUGAAAAAAAAAAAGAAAGAGGGUAUGAUGGUACCAUAGUCCAAGGAGGGAUUCACUUGUUUAUUUGAGUAGGAACAUUAAAUUAUUAUCUGAGAGGUGGGAAUUAUACCUGAGAGCUUGAGAAGUGUACAUUAUGUUUUCUUGUAUGCAAAAUUGUUAGCCUCACAGUAAUCUCUUGGAAUAAAUAAUGCUGGAGAUUAGUGUUUUAUUAAAGAAGUCAAUAAUAUAAUGUGGAAUCAGUAUUUAUCAUAACCCAUUUGGCAUUUUUGGUUUAGGGCAGUCUACAGUCCGCAUUAAAUUUUUCACUUCUUUAAGAAAAGUCACCCACAGGUCAAGCAUGUUGGUGGAAUCCUCAUAAAGAAAGUAGAAUGGAUUAUAUAAAUUUAUCCUGUUGCAUGAAAGAGCUAAAGAUCCCUGCAAUGGUCCUAAUACUGCUGCUGACAUGCAUGUUUAACGGUCGGCGGACCGUUUGUGUUUUUACUUAUAUAAAAGCUAAGAUAGAGACUUAAUUUACAUGGCUUAAAACUUGCUCUGAUUCGAUUUCUUUAAAAACAUUUCAUAUGGUGUUUUCAAAUUUCAUGUGUAUUUAAAAACCCAUUUAAGGGCAUUUCCCAGUUGCAUGGUGUAAUAUAAGGGCAUGUUUGUUUCAACGUAAGUAGACUUGGGGUGGAAGUGGAUUUUGGAUUAAAGUGGAGUUUAGGUGAAAAUUAAUUUACUUCUGCUGUUUGUUUCUAACUGUGGAAGUGCAGUUCUAUGAGUUCUGUUGUCUGUUUGGUAGGAAGUAGAUUACGUAAAAAGUGUAGCUCUCCAUCUCCGGUAUACUUAUCUCCGAAGUGAUAUUAUUGUCUAUUUUGUAACUUAGUGAAUAAUAAAAUAUAAUAAAUAAAAAUUAAUAUAAUUAUAUAUGUAUAUAAUUAUAUAUAUGUAUAAUUAUAAAAUAAAAUUUUAAAAAAUUAUAUUAUUUGUUUGCAUAUAAAUUAUAAUAAUGUAACAAAUAAAAUUCUAAAGUUAAAAAAUUAUUAACAUUUAACAAAUUCAUUUUUCAUCAUUUUUUAAGUAUACAUAUUAAACAAAAAAUAUAUUAAAACUUGCCCAACUAAAUUUGAUCACAUUACCUAACCAAAUUUAACAAGCUUCUUUGCCUCUUUGCACUUCACCGGAAUUGACUUCGCCCCGUGGGAGGGCGAAGUCAAUUACCCUAUUUUGGGCGAACUUGACUUUCGGCCGUAAUAAAAUUACNNNNNNNNNNNNNNNNNNNNNNNNNNNNNNNNNNNNNNNNNNNNNNNNNNNNNNNNNNNNNNNNNNNNNNNNNNNNNNNNNNNNNNNNNNNNNNNNNNNNNNNNNNNNNNNNNNNNNNNNNNNNNNNNNNNNNNNNNNNNNNNNNNNNNNNNNNNNNNNNNNNNNNNNNNNNNNNNNNNNNNNNNNNNNNNNNNNNNNNNNNNNNNNNNNNNNNNNNNNNNNNNNNNNNNNNNNNNNNNNNNNNNNNNNNNNNNNNNNNNNNNNNNNNNNNNNNNNNNNNNNNNNNNNNNNNNNNNNNNNNNNNNNNNNNNNNNNNNNNNNNNNNNNNNNNNNNNNNNNNNNNNNNNNNNNNNNNNNNNNNNNNNNNNNNNNNNNNNNNNNNNNNNNNNNNNNNNNNNNNNNNNNNNNNNNNNNNNNNNNNNNNNNNNNNNNNNNNNNNNNNNNNNNNNNNNNNNNNNNNNNNNNNNNNNNNNNNNNNNNNNNNNNNNNNNNNNNNNNNNNNNNNNNNNNNNNNNNNNNNNNNNNNNNNNNNNNNNNNNNNNNNNNNNNNNNNNNNNNNNNNNNNNNNNNNNNNNNNNNNNNNNNNNNNNNNNNNNNNNNNNNNNNNNNNNNNNNNNNNNNNNNNNNNNNNNNNNNNNNNNNNNNNNNNNNNNNNNNNNNNNNNNNNNNNNNNNNNNNNNNNNNNNNNNNNNNNNNNNNNNNNNNNNNNNNNNNNNNNNNNNNNNNNNNNNNNNNNNNNNNNNNNNNNNNNNNNNNNNNNNNNNNNNNNNNNNNNNNNNNNNNNNNNNNNNNNNNNNNNNNNNNNNNNNNNNNNNNNNNNNNNNNNNNNNNNNNNNNNNNNNNNNNNNNNNNNNNNNNNNNNNNNNNNNNNNNNNNNNNNNNNNNNNNNNNNNNNNNNNNNNNNNNNNNNNNNNNNNNNNNNNNNNNNNNNNNNNNNNNNNNNNNNNNNNNNNNNNNNNNNNNNNNNNNNNNNNNNNNNNNNNNNNNNNNNNNNNNNNNNNNNNNNNNNNNNNNNNNNNNNNNNNNNNNNNNNNNNNNNNNNNNNNNNNNNNNNNNNNNNNNNNNNNNNNNNNNNNNNNNNNNNNNNNNNNNNNNNNNNNNNNNNNNNNNNNNNNNNNNNNNNNNNNNNNNNNNNNNNNNNNNNNNNNNNNNNNNNNNNNNNNNNNNNNNNNNNNNNNNNNNNNNNNNNNNNNNNNNNNNNNNNNNNNNNNNNNNNNNNNNNNNNNNNNNNNNNNNNNNNNNNNNNNNNNNNNNNNNNNNNNNNNNNNNNNNNNNNNNNNNNNNNNNNNNNNNNNNNNNNNNNNNNNNNNNNNNNNNNNNNNNNNNNNNNNNNNNNNNNNNNNNNNNNNNNNNNNNNNNNNNNNNNNNNNNNNNNNNNNNNNNNNUAAUUAUAAAAUAAAAUUUUAAAAAAUUAUAUUAUUUGUUUGCAUAUAAAUUAUAAUAAUGUAACAAAUAAAAUUCUAAAGUUAAAAAAUUAUUAACAUUUAACAAAUUCAUUUUUCAUCAUUUUCUAAAUAUACAAAUUAGACAAAAAAUAUAUUAAAACUUGCCUAACUAAAUUUGAUCACCUUACCUAACCAAAUUUAACAAGCUCCUUUGCUUCUUUGCACUUCACCGGAAUUGACUUCGCCCCGUGGAAGGGUGAACUCGACUUUCAGCCGUAAUAAAAUUACGGCAAAACAAACAACGGAAGUGAUAGUUUACGGCGUAAACAACUUUCCCCCUCUCCACUUCCCCCUGACUUUCACCCAAACAAACACACCCUAGGUGCUUAUUAAAGAGGAUUUCUUCACCAGAUAGGCUUGUCAGCAUGCUUUGCCUACAUUUUCCGUGAGAGUGAUUCAGUCAGAAUAAGGUAGAAAGAAUCUGAUUUUAAAGUGCUUUUUGUGUAUAUAUAUAUAUAUAUAUAUAUAUAUAUAUAUAUAUAUAUAUAUACACACACACGAUUAGGAUGAUAUGGGCCCCGUAGGGUUGAGUGAGUUAUUGGUUUAAUAGUAUAAUUUAACGGGUGAAAAUAGUCAAAUGAUUAAAUUUAACGGUGAAAAACUUGAUAGUACUAAACGCUUGGUACUAUCGAUAGUAUCCUAGCCAGAUUUUUAUAUAUAUACAUAUUAAUGAGAUGUACAUAAUGUGAUUUACCUAAUUAAACACAAAUAGAAGUUAAUUUCUAUUAAUAAAUCUUCUUAGUUUUUUGUCUUGGAAAAGUCUACCAAUAGCAAAGACUCUUUUAUAGUUUUUAUCUUGAAAUAGGUUUUCAGUGUUACUCUUCUAGUCAGACAACAGUCUAUAUAUACAGAAAUAUUGAUCGGUUCAUGCACACAACAUAAAAAUACUAUACAUAUUUAUCAAAAACAUCAAUAAUUUAUAUAUAAAAAGCAACAUUCCAGGGACCCAAAGCAUAUCCUGCAACUAAUGUAGCCAAAGAGCUAGAUCAACGAAAGCGGCAUUUGCAAACAGCUGCCAUAUCAUUUCUUACCAAUGAAGAGAUUCCAAUUAGGAACAAUAGUUUUCUUCUUCUUUUUUUCUUUUUCUUUUUUUUUUCAACCACAGAAGCAAGAGAGAGGGACAGAAUUAGGGGGGAGGGGGACCAUGUAUAAUUGGGUGGAUACAUACCGUUCUCUCUAGGGUUCACAGGAGUAGAAGAUGUGAGCAUCUUAACCCCUCUCUUUCACACACACACACACGCACACUGUGGUCUCUGUGAAAUGGACGUGGAGAUGCAUGAAAGGGCCCCUCGAAAAGCUAAUCAACAAAAAGCCAACAGCAGUUAUAGAAUCCUCAGCAUGCAUGGUGGAGGGGUGGGCGUGGCCAUAUACAAUUUCCCCCUACCCUUUGGGACCACCACCUUUAAAUUAUUCUAUGUUUUCUUUAAACACCAUGCCAACACCCCCUGUAACCUAAUAAAGGCUUAAAAAACCUUUAACCCCUUUGAUCCACAUCCCCCACUCUCCUCUUCUUCUUUUCUAUGUACUCCCUCUCCCCCCCCCCCCAAACNUCAUGUGAACAGUAAUCUCCUCUCUCUUAUCCUCUCUUCUCUUCUCUUCCUUCGCAUCGGUCUGUUGGUGCACCAUCAAGUAGAUGAAGCUGCCAGCAUGAUCUGACCAUCUCUCUCUCUCUCUCUCUCUCUCUCUCUCUCUCUCUCUCUUAAAGAGGGAAGUAUCAGAUCAUGCGGCAGUUUCAUCUUCUGAUGGAAGCACAAAAAGAACUCUAGUUCCUCAUCAGGUUUCAUGGAGAUUCAUCGAGGACAGCGCAUCAGUGAUCUUGAUCAGUUAUGUCUUCAAUUUCCUGGUAUACAUGUAGUCUCUAAUGUUAAUCUCUUAACGCUAUCGCUGAUUUUUGUUCUUGCUGUUGUUGUUUGACAUAAUUAAUUAAGAAAGCUAAAAAGACGGAAGGGAGGGAGAGGAUGCAGUUAGAAGUUUUGGAGUUGCCUCAGCCUUGGUGUGCAUGGUUGAAUGGUUGACUAUAUAUCCACUGUGAGCUAGUAGUCACUAGUAAUUUUAUCCUUUUGAGUUCCUUCAUUUGCUGCCAAGUAGUAAUUAUAAUGUUUUGAUUAUAUAUAGGUAUUUAAUUAGCAGUAGCGUAGUGAUUUUUUUUUUUACAAAAUUUAAUUCUAUUAGGAAAAGGAGACUCCUCUCCUUUUCUUUUCAUUAUCAUCUUGCUAUUUUUUCUUCUCUUUUUUUUUUUUUUUUAUUCGAGCGAAAACCCGUAUGUAGAUACUCUUGCGCAGCUGUUAUUUACAGAGAGGAAGCAAUCACUAAUCACAUCGAUCGAUAGAUAUAUUGAUGGUUUCUAACCAUCUCUCAUUUUUUCUGCAUCCCAUGUGGUAAUUAGGAGAUUAGCUCAGCAUUGUCUUUUUUUCGUAUUUUUCUUUGCAUUUUUUUAGGAUCAGAACAGCAUCAUCUUCAAGCUUUCAUAACGGUCGGUGUUAAUAACGCAUCAAAAUUUGCUAAGAUGGAUAGAUUCAUUAAAUGUGAUCAUAGUCCCUUGGUUAAUUUUGAGCAGAUUCAUUAAAAAUAUAGUUCGUCAUUGCUAAAACUGGCACCAUAAGCCUUUAGGCUUUGGUAAGUAGCAAUUUAUUGUAUGUUUAGUAUUCUUCUAAUGAAGGUCAUGACUGCUGGUGCAUUUGACAUAGUUCUAAUUAUAUAUAUAAGUAGGUAUUCUACUGCGCUGAGCUUUAAUUAUUGAUUAGUACUAGUCCCCUCUCUCUAUCUCUCACCCCUUUAAUUAAUUACAGGCACAAAUCCUUACGACGACUAUAUGUCUAAUUAACCUGUUUACUAUAUAUACAAUUUAAGUAAAUUUAGAAAGUUUCUCAUCUAGUUUCUCACUGUCUCUACUGUCCUAUGUUUAUUAUUUGGGUGGGGGACACAUGCAACCCAUUUGUUUUGUUUUUUUUUUGAGAGAGAUAGGUAGCAUGCUACCCGUUCGUUUAUUUCAUUUAGAAAUAAAUUUAGCUGGAAAAUGUGAAUCAACUAGGAUUCGAACUUGGGUCUCAGGUACCAACCACCAAGUCCUUUGCCACUUGCUCUAGGGAUGGUCUGUUAUGCAACUCAUUGUUACAUAUAUAUAUAUAUNNNNNNUUCUUAUGAAGUCUCAAAAUUGUGGCCAUAAUGGUAUGCUUCCUUUGGAGCGUGCAAAAAGAUAUCCCUGAGUUCACUACCUUGGGCAAGGUGUUGAGGGGGGGAGGGGGGGUGGCGGGGCGGGGCAUAGGAAACCAACCUAAAUGUAAUGCUCAAAAUUCGAUGGAGAGAAGGAAAGAGGAAAGGUUUCUUAUUGUGGCGAAUAAUCUCUACAGGACCAUGAAACCUGUGAGCUUACAAGUUUCCAAGUACUACGUACUAUUGUUUCUUAUGGUUUUUUCUUUUUUUGGAGAAAAAGAUGGCUAAGUUAUUCAUUUCAUUCAUUCGAAAAAUAAAUUAAAUAAAAGCAACUAGAACCUCAAGAAAAAAACAGAAAGGGGAAAGAGAGUGUAACAAAACAGUAGAAAUCAAGAGAGAGAGAGAGAGAGAGAGAGAGAGAGAGAUGUUACACAGAUAAGGGCAGCUGAUGGCAAUGCUCGGGUCAUAAAUCCAAAGUUCUUUAGAUAUUCAAUAAAGCCUGAGAUGGGUUUGUUCUUUUGUCCACGAAAAUAAUGUUAUUCCUUUCAAGCUAGAUCGCCCAUCAAGUAUCGGGAAGUCGCGUCAGAUCUUAUUUUCUUUUACCAUCAUCUGAAUGUUUGAUUAGUUUCUCACAUAAUCCUCAUACUUUGUUUGUAUUCUGUGCUAUGAAAGAACCCUAGUCUGAACAUGUGAGCAUGUAAUUGAGAUAUAAGUAUAGCGAAAAGAGAUGGCCAUAUGCCUUGAACUCGCUUGCGCGGAGGACGUAAACUUGUUUUCCCAACUUGCCCCGUUUAAGGAAAUUGUCUGCAGCAAGGAUCUCUUUCUCAAAAGCAUUGAAACAAAAAUUUAACCUUCUUCUAGUAGGAAGUUCUAAAGUGAUUUAACUGUGAAGCAUUGUAUUAGCCACCUUUGAUUUUUGUAACCUCCCUUUGAGGAGAGAGAGAGAGAGAGAGAGAGAGAGAGAGAGAGAGAGAGAGAGAGAGGAAGAGAACAGGAGCAUGUUUGUUAUGUUCACUUUACCAUUUCUAUCAUUAUUGAAUCAAGUUUUUUUUUAAAAAAAAAACAGUAAUCAAGCAUUUUGAUCUUUACUAAAAAAUGUAAAAAGUUUGUUUUUUUCUCUCCAAAAAUAAAGGUAAAAUGUAUUUUAAUAAACGAGCCUACAUAUUGCUUGGUGGUUUACGACACAAAGACAGUUAAAUGCAAACUUUUUUAGUGCUGAACUCCGCAUAUUCAUAUCUCAAGCUCUUAGUAUAAUUUAAGCCAUAUUAAUCAGAUGCUAGCAAUAUCUUAUGAUGAGUUGCUAUUACAUUAGCUUAUAUGUGUUCAGCAAUUGUGUCAUCUGUGAGACAUGGUGGUUGAUCUCUCAUGCACUACUACUGCUGCAUGCAAUAUUUUUGUACUAUAUGUAAUACAGCUCCAUUGAACAUGUGUUGGACUCUUUCAAUUUCCACUUAUCUUAUUUUUAGCUGGGACCUGUUGAAUUCUAUAUAUUCAGACUUGAUUCCAAUCAGAGUUAGUCUCUUUUUAAGUUCUCUCUUUUCCUCUGAAAUGUCUGUUAAAUUAAGCUUUCGAUGUUUUUUCUCCUCCCCGUAUAUUUUAAUCUCUAUUUCUUUCUUUUUUUUUGUUUUUCUCUUUGUAGAGAUCAUGGGAUCUGUCUAAUUAUUUCUGAUCUAAUUACAUCAAACCAUCCUUAAUUAAAGUUUUCAAUUUAAGAUACCUAAAUCUGAGCAACAUGCAUACUGGCUUGCACACCAUGCUAUUCUCCUUUAUGGCCUUAUCCUUACUACCAAAAAAGUAUCAUUCAUCAGAGCUAGGGACGAUUACCUAAUUAAACUAUGAUGAUGAGAAGCUAAAGGUGUUCUUCCAAAAUUAUUUUAAAUAAUGAUGAUGAAUAUAAUUAACUCUUCAUUUUAUCUCCAAUCAGGUUUUUUCAGUAAGGCACCCUCAAUAGAAAGGCAUGCCCAUCCAGAGGCAACCAGGUUGGUUCCAGGUACAAAUGGUUCGUGUUAAAACAGCAAUAACAGCAAUAUUUUCCUUCGGUAAGUUGAAAGCAAGUAGCACACUCAAAACUCUGAAUGCCUGGUAUUAUCUGCCUAUUUUUUAAAGUUAGUCUACACAGAUUGAAUAUUCACAUUGCAGUUCAGUAGAAUAUACAAAAUGUGGAGUGUAUGAGUCUGUUACAAGGUUUCAAAGUUUCCUUUGUUUCAAGUAUAGCCGCCAAAAAUCAUAUGUACAAAUCUGACUAGGAAGAUUAAAGCUAGAAAUAUUACAUUAAUAUAAACCUUUUGUACAGAGAGUUCCACUUGGGCUACCCACUUAAUACAAUAUUACAAUUAUCUCCCAUCCAUCCUUUCUGUACAUACAUAUUCUGUUUGCUACUCCAGUUUAGCAGUAGAACAUUACCCUCUUCACAUUCUCCUUCAGCGCAAGAAGUGGCUUCACUGUAGCCUCUCCUCUCCCACAUGAGGUUCGUACGCUGUUUCCCAGUGAGCCAUUCUUUUGUUCUUCAGGGUCGACAUAGAACCGGGCUCGGAAUGCCGCUAAAUGUGCAUAAUAUGCUGGAGGGACUGCAGAGUAACCCAAUUAUCAGCCUCAUAGAGAUUAUAGUGUUUCGAAACUAAGCUUUUCAUGUGAUAGAAGGGGCAGAAAUAGGGAAGCAGGAAAGGUGGGGCUAAAGGAACGAUGAUUCUCUGUUGCUUAUGACUCGCAGAGUUUCAAUUUAAAGCGAUUCUUUCAUGUCGAAAAGUAGGGAAAUCAACGAGGGUGUAACUAUGGUGUCUAAACUUACAGCAAGGUGAAAUACUUUUUGACUAAGUGUGAAUAAGAAGGAAGAUUAAGCUUCGGAAGAAAAAAAAGGAAAUAAAAUUACACGGAACAUUAUCAUACCGAUAGAGACAGAUCGUGUACACCUUGCAUACCUGCAAAGGUGUGCAGACUCAAAAUAUCAAGCGUUGAAUAGACAGGAAAUAGCAGAGAUAAACAGAGAAGGAGAGGGGAAGGUUAAAACAUACGUGUAGCACAAAUUGUUUGUCAGCGAUUGCAAUCCAUCUGCUGUAAAAUUAUUUUCAUCCCAUAAAACAUGGUAAUGGGCUGGUCUACUAGUCCCCUGCUUAGUUUCCAAAACACAUGUUAGGUAUGCAGUAUGGUUUAAUUUUCAGUGCAUUUGGAAAUUGAUCUUCUGCUAACGGUAAUUUGCAAAUAAAGGUUGAUAUGACCUGGAGUCCGGCAUGGCUGCACAAGUAGAAGUCGAAUUCUGUCGGAUGGCAUAUUCUGGAAUCAACUACAGUGCCUGCAUUACAUAUGUUGACCUAUAAAUCUCAAUUUGAAAUAAGCUUUUAGCUGAAGCAUUUUGUAUAACUAAUCAUACCAGGUAGUAUGUUCCCACUCUUGUCGGUGCUAGCCCGAUUCUUGUGGUUGCUGACAAAUAGCCUCGUGUGAUGCCGCUUUUGGACGACUACAAAAGUCACCGGUGGUUGAUAGUUCGGCUCAAGAGAGGCACAAGCCUUCAGCGAACAAAGCACAUACCGAGUUUCCAAAAUUGUUUUACUACUAAUGUCAUUAUAAAAAAAGAAUAUUCCGACGCUUGAGAAUGUAAGUCAAAGGAAUCACUAUUCACCUUUCGGAUUGCAUCUAGCUCAUAAAGUAGCACUUGGUAAAACUGACCUUCACUCACGCCAUCCCUGUGCAAGAAAUAACCAGGAAAUAGUUAUUCUUCAUCUUUCUUUACAAAUAUAAUGGAUUUUAACUUAAGAGUGAGUUUGCAAAUUUGUUUCUACGAGUAAUGGGUGUCCUUAUUUCUUGCCUUAGUUUGCUUCUUGAUUGAAACUUGCUCUCUCAAAAUUUUAUGUGAGAUUGUUCAUUUAAAUAUGACCUCAAAUAAGUUACUUUAUCUUUUCUGUUUUUUUUCUUAAGACUAAAUUGUUCUUUUACACUGAUUACAUGUUCUCUCAUAUAAUUUUUUGAAUCACCUAUCAGAUUAACACAAGUAGCCAUUCAUCAUUAGGUCUAGGCAAAAUAGAGUAGCUAUUUGUAUCAACCUGUAAAAUAUGAUCCUCAGUGGCUUUUGGCCAGUAGCUCUCCUGAAAGAUAUCAGUAGAUCCCUGCAUUACCAAUUAAGGUAUCAUGAUCAAAAGAAAGAAUCAGUGAACUUUUGAUCCGAACAUAAGAGCGCAGCAAGGACCAUUAAGACAGUUAAAGAAAUUUGGGAAGCUCAAAAAUUAGUGUGUAAGAGCCAGAGGUUCAGCAUCAAUUUUCCAUGUAGGGUCAGCAUUCAUCGAAAGAGUUACCUAAUCAUGCCUCCAUUCACUGUUCCUCGAAUAGGAUCAUUCCACGUCUUAUACAAAUCUUGUAUAAGCUCCUGUCGGUGUGUCUGAGCACAGACAACGCCAGCAUAUUUAGUAAUUUCUGGCCAAUCUUGAGAAGCUACUACCUACAUCAACCAAAAAAGAAAACGCCAAAUUUGAAAUUUAGAAAAAAAAAAAAGUAAAAACGAAUAUUUAGAGAUUAGUAUUGUUGGAUCAUACAGCAGCAAUCGAAGGGCUUGCGUCCUCUCCGCUCUCUGGGUGGGUAACAUCUGCUCCAAAAAUAAUAGUUGGAAUAUCACUGACUAGUGGUAUUUUCCAAGCAAUUGCAUCCAAAAGCACAGUGUUUCUUCCUCCCAUCUGCAAAAUAUUAUGCAUUGAUCAUAUAGUCCUGUUCUUCUAAAUUCUGGCAAUUAGAAACAGAGAAUGCCCAUCAUCACGAAUUUACAGUUUAUUCUCGUUCAUGUCCUUUGGUAUACUUACUGGUUCAUUCUUGGUUCAAUAUGCUUGGGAAUCAAAACAAGAAAACACUAGAUAUUUGUGAGACCCCAGAUAGUCCUAUAUAUAAAAUAUAAUAGGACUAAAACUCUUAGCUCGUCUUAAACAUUUUGGGUAGUGGCUAGGUCCAAGAGGUUAAGAGAGUUAAGUAUGCUAGGACGAAAGUAGUCUUAGGAUGAAUGACUCUCUGGAAAGUUGGUACGUCAUAGUUGGUAUCAGUGCCAAUUACCAGUCGGAAGUAUAAGAUGAGUCUCGACUGAGCCAAAAUUAUACAGCAGGAAGAGCGAAGCUCUCAUACUGUUGACUGUUGUGGGUGAAACGCAGCUAACCACAAGAUGGGUUUAAGCUAGCGAGACAAGUCUUACAUCGUCUGGUACUUUUGAGUAUGAACCGAACGAAAACGUUAGGGCAUGAGGGGAAGAGAAUAUGAGACCCCAGAUAGUCCUAUAUAUAAGAUAUAAUAUGGCUAAAACUGUUAGCCCAAUUUAAGCAUUUUGGGUGGUGACUAAGCCCAAGGUAGGGAUGUAAUGUGGGCCGUGCCGGGCCGGCACGGCCCACAUUUUCCGGGCCGAAACGGGCCGGGGGGCAGCCCGGCACGGCCCGGCCCCAAAAUCGGGCCGUGCCGUGCCGGGCCAAAUUUUUUGGAACCCGGCCCAGCACGGGCCCCCGGCCCGGACUGCACGAGACUGCACGGGCCGUGCCGGGCUUUGGGCCUGUUCUUUUUUAUUUUAUUAAUUUUAUUUAAAAAUAUUUAAAUUUUUUGAAAAAUAAAAAUAUUAAUAUUAAUUUUUUAAAAAAUAAUAUAUAAGUAAAAAAAUUAAAAUAUAUUUAUAAAAAUAUUAAAAUUUUAAAUUUUAAAUUAAAUUAUUUAAAAAUUUUAAAUUUUUUAGACAAAAAUACCAUCCCAACAGUCAAAUUUUUGACUGUGGAGAGGACUUUUCGUCAGCCACCUCCAAAGCAAGCCCACUCCCAAAAGCGAUGGGAGUUAUGCCUGCAGAAGGCUCGGAACCAACUCCCAAGGUUGGUUGCCCAAUCCAAGUUGGGUUGCCCAACUGGGUGCUGCAGAGCCUAGGGCCCGGCUGGAGCCUGGCCACCGGGCCGGGCCGGGCCGUGCCGGGCCGGGCCUGGGUCCUUGCCGCAUGGUAGACUAAUGUGUGCCGGGCCGCGGCGGGCCAUCGGGCCGCGGAGCGAAGGCCAGCACGGCCGAUAUUAACUGGUAGUGGCCGGGCCAGGCACGGACGCAUACGCUAGUGCGUGCCUGCCUGGCCGGCCACUCUCAAGCCGGUGCCGGCGGGGGCCCCGCGCGGGCUCCCGCGCGGACGCACGGCGUUUGACAUCCCUACCAAGAGGUUAGAGAGUUUUUUUUUUUUUUUUUUGAGAGAGAGAGAGAGAUAGGUAGCACGCUACCCGCUUCGUUUAUUUUAUUUAAAAAUAAACUUAGCCGGAAAUGUGAAUCAACUAGGAUUCGAACUUUGGACCUCGGGUAUCAACCACCAAGCUCUUUACCACUUGCUCUAGGGAAGGUCGGUAAGAGGUUAAGAGAGUUAAGCGUGCUAGGACGGGAGUAGUUCUAGGAUGGGCAACCCCCUGAGAAGUUGGGUCGUCACGAUAUCAACUUUUUAGAUAAUUUGAUAAAAUCUAGCGUGUAAUAACUAGUUAAAAAAAUGAAUGUAACAUACAGAAAUGGUUGUUUGAGUUCAGAUAGUCUUUUUCACCUUCACAUUAAUCUUCAGAGCAACAUUUGCCAGAUAUUGUUUGCAAACCCUGAAGACAUGCUUUGUUAGACAGCACUGUGAUAUUAAUCCCAAAUCUGUCUCACAAAUCCUCUUGAUAUCACCUAUACAUAAAAAAAUCAUCAUAGACUUGAUAUUGUAAAUUUAUGCAGAUAAUCAGACAUUAGAAUAGAUUUGCAAAAAUUGCUAUUGUAAAUUUAUGCAGUCAAUCAGACAGUAGAGUUGGACAAUUGAUAUUGUAAAUUUACAGUUGGACACUACAGUUGAUUUGAGAAGUAGGGUAUACCAUACAAAGAACCAUUUUGGUCAGGCAAGAUAGCUAUUAGUAGCUCCAAAUCCUUCCCCUUACUUUUGGCUGAUGCACGAUAAACCUUCUUGAGAGCCUCUUCGACUUGUUCCGGGCAGGCUGAGUAUAUUGGAAUAACAGGUUCAGGACUGAAUUCCUAAGUAAAGGAAGAGUUUAUAAUCACACUAAUAGUACCAAUAUUAAUUAGCUACUGAUUGAUGUUGGAUAAUGAAGAUAUAUAUUAGAUAGUGGGAUCACCAUGCCAGAGACUUGGCACAUUUCAGCCAGCUCAUGACAGAAACCAUGUGCAACAUUCUCUUGGAUGGUCCAGGAAAAAUUAAUGCACGCCCAUCGAGCUACUUUGCUUCCAUUAAUCAUUUUCUGUUACACAAAACAUAAAAGAAGUAAGAAUAUGUAAUGACAUUAGUACCUUCUCCUAUAUGAAUAAAUAGAGAAUGUGGUGAAAAAGGUAUUGCCUUGUUCUUCAUAUUCCACUGACCAACAUGAGGUAGACACUGCUUUUCUUUUCCAGCAUCAUGAUAUUUAAGCUAAAAACAUACACAUUUGAGUUUCAUAUUAAUCAGAUGUUGUGAAGGAAACAAAGAUUGGUAAAACAUAUGAGUAGGAACAAGAAUCAGAGAACUACCCAAGGUGGAGGAAGGAUUCGAGCCUCAAUGCAGGCCAGUUUCUCACUGAUUUUGAUUCCAAAUUCCUUUGCAUAUGGAUCUCGAUGAUAGGCAUUAUGUUGAACAGUCUGUGGCACGAGCAUACAUAAUAAAACAAGAAGUUAUUGCUUCUUAUACUUAAAGGUAAACCAGCAAUAUCAAGUAGAAAUCUCGAUCAGAAAAAAAAAGAUUAUACCACUACAAACUAAUUAUUAGGAUAAGAAUUUUGGGGAAAAAGGCACCUUCAGAAUAUCAUUUUCCCUUUCCUUAGGCCUCUGGCAUGCUAUUUUAAGCAAUGCUGUGAUUUGCUUCUCGUUCAGCCUCUUUGUAUAUCUUUGUCCCUCCAGGAUUUUGCAGGCCUGUAAAGUAGCAUGUCAACAAUUAACCACAUGAGUGAAGGGCAACAGGAAAAAGAAAGAUUCUGGUAUUACAAUGUAAGAAAACAACCUCCAUGGGCAAAUACUUGACUUUUGUCUGAUUCCCCACUUGAAGGCAAGGUAGGUGUGUAUACUCAAUGGCGAAUCCAUACAUUUCUUGAAAGUAAUCUACGACGGACAUCAUGGAGUGGUCCUCAACCGGAAAUCUACAAAAUUUAAAUGCAACAAAUGAUAAAACUAACAUAAAGUUGAGUAUCUCUAAAGAAAUCAUGUAUACGAUAGAAAAAAUUCCCGUCGGUAACAAUUAGCAGGCAGCAGCAUCAUCGAGUGAUAGGACAAAACUUACAUGAGUUCAUUUGUAGGCUGUGAUGUUAAACCAGAUAUACGGUAUUUCCUUCGUACGUGCGCUCUGUGUACGACUUCAACUUUCACACCAGUAAGUGCCCUUUUAAUCUAAUAGCGAACUUUUGAGAUGAGCAGACAGUUUAACUAGCAAAAAGGAGGUAGUAGCAGUACUGAUGUUGAAGUAUUAAGUUAUACAUUACCUUGAGAUGAUCAGAAUCAGAUAACGGCCUUGUUAAUGCACCCUUUCCCAAUAUUUGAGCAACAAAAUCAAUUACAGGCAAGGGCUCGAUAAAUGCCGCUGCAGACGUGUCUAAAAAGGACAAAUUUAGAAGACACAAUAACUGUAAGCGUCAAAUUCAUUGAUUCCAUUUAGUGGCCGAAUGAAUAUCGUUUGAUCAUAAUAUUAAGUCACACACCAAUAUUUAGGGACAAGCCCAUCUGAGUGGGCCUUAUACUCUGAUAAAACCCACACCAUGCCUCUAAACCAUCACCAAGCCGCUGAGGUGUUCUAAAAUCUGAAGAGAAGAAUGAUCUCCCAAUAGGAUAGUACCUUAAACAGAGACAGAGCUAAUCGGUGAAUACAGGAAAUAUUUCUUAGACAUAAAGAAGUACCAUGAGAGAAGAUUAUGUCUAUGUUGGAUCACCACCUCUUAUCUGAAAGUUGUCUCAGAACAAUGUCCAGAACUUGAAGAGCCUCCUGUGGAGCUGCUGCAUGCUUACCUGCUAAAAAUUGGCCUAGGUGGUGCAAAUUCGCUUUUCCCACAAACUUGAUGGCCACUUUGUAUUCUCUUAUGCUACAGCUUAAUUAAUAUUUGGAACAACAUUAGGACAGCAGGUAAAUCAAACAGAGGGGGUUUGACAAACUAAUUGGAAGGUAAUUCACAUAUCAGCAACCCAACUUUUGCUUAUCUUUUAAGCUCCAAUUGCCUCUUUUACAGGCAGAAAAGACUGAAGCUUCUACCGCUGUGGGAAGCCCCAAAAACAAAGGCUCCAAUUUGGAGCUUCUUCUUCUACCGCAAAGAGAAAUUGUUGGGGAAAAUCCACCUAGUGCUUCUCUUAAUAGCACUACAAAAACAGCAGUUCCUCUAACAGCAUAACAACUUACAACGGGGCCUAAAGAGGAAUAAAAUAGAGAACAAAGAGAAUGCAUCUAAGCAUGUUGUUAUCAAGGUCAAGGAACUUCAUGGUAACAAUAAAGAUUGUGAGAUGUGAAUAAAUGACCAAAAAAAAAAUCAAAAAAAUCCUUACUUGGGGCCAUUAAUUCCAUCUUCUUCGUCGACGACCUUAAUUCCGAAUUCCCUAUAAAAGAAAGGGAGCUCUCCAGCUGUAUAAAGACUCUUCCUGCCAUCAUAAGCAGGCAACCUCAUUCCAAGGUCAGAUUCUCUGUACAGUUUCACAAGCUCCGCGAUGAUGCUUCUGUUCACAGCGCGCGAGGCAUCCUCGGGGGUUAUCGUUACCUCAACAAAUGAAAUGAACAGCAAGCAUGGAGACCAGCCCAAUUAAUAUAACCAAUCCACACAUCUUAUAAUGGCAUUGAAAUAGGUAACAAAAUUUAGAACUCGUCAAACAAGAACCCGAAAUGAGAAAUGUACAAAAGGAUUAGAUAUAUCUCACGUCAUAAUGUGCCAAAUCUUUGUCGGGUAGCUCGGUGAGAAAAUGAUUAGCCUUUACAAUACAUCUAGUCCCAGCUCGCCCAAGCCCAGGUCUUGAGGGAAACCUGAGAGUCUUGCUUGAAGAAGGAAGAGGAAUCUCUGCAGCUUCUCCCAAACAACUUCUACUCUCUAAACAACAGCUACCUGGAAUUUGGUAUUCAAUUGCCGGCUUCGAAGUGGAAGAGUCUCCUCCUCCUCUUCUUCUUGUUCUGCUGUCUCUGUUUUUAGAAGUAGAUGGGGCUGGGCUCUGCCAUUUGCCAUUAGAAGCCUCUUGAAAGGGGUUCAUAGGAUUGCACUCCUUGGUUUUAAUCACAAGGUGAAGUUCUGGGCUUUCUUUCUUCUGUUUUAUGGGCAUGGUUGCUUAUACUAAGACCUGGAAUAGAGAGAUUAGAAGAAGAAGAAGAAGAAGAAGAAGAAGAGGCCAAGUUAGAGGUGGUCAUUGUCAAGUUAAUAAAGAACCACUAUGAAUGUAAACUAGAGAGAGAAAGAGAGAGAGAGACGGGGGUGGGUGGGUAAUGGUGGUGGGUACACAAGGUGUUAAACAUGAUAUUUGCUUGCAUAGACAAGAGUACAUUUGUUCAUCAAAAUGACUUAAUGAUUGAUCAGGAUCAGGAUCAGGAUCAGGAUCAGCAUCAGCAUCACAAUACUAUCCUAGUUCGAACCUCUGAUUGCCUGAAACUCUUUCCCUGGCAAUGCCAAAACCUCACAAACCCAUAUAUCUCAAAGAUUUAAAAAAAAGGGGAAAUGGUAGUAAAUAUUUGGGCCUUUUCACCAUACAUCAGUUCAAUAAUGCUUGGAACAGUUCAGAAUCUUAACAAAAUUUCAUUUCACCAGAAAAAUUUAACCAGAAAAAAUAGAGAGAGAGAGAGAGAGAGAGAGAGAGAGAGAGAGAGAGAGAGAACACAUUACCGUUCAAACUGAAGACCUUAGGCCCCACACAACAGUAAAUAAGCAAUGGAUGAACAGCAAGGAAAGAAGAUCGGUAGAUAGAGCAUGCAAUAAACUGCAAAACUACAAGCCCAAAGCUAGAACACAAAGGGUGAGCAAAAUAAACAAGCGCACAACCCCCCUGAUGCAGUUCCAAAAGGCCAAAGCAUCCAAGAAGCAUCAAAAACUCGCCAACCCAGAAAAAGCAGCAAGGAGACAAACACUCGCAAACACAUGCAAAGAAAAGCCAAGCUCCCCUGAACAGUUCAGAACAAGCAGAUACAAACAAAAACCCACCUCGCAAGUAGCUAGAUAGAAGAGGAAAAAAGGCCAACCAAAGUACCCAACUACUGACUUAGCCACUCAAUGCUAACACAACCCAAACAAUCCCUUCCCCUGUAAUUUAUAACCGAAUAAAAUUAAAAUAACCAGCGCUAAAGAGCCUGUCAAAGCCUCAAAGGUGGGCCUGAAAGCGAUGCGAUGAUGAGUAAGAAGUAAAGCAGCAGCCUGAGGGCUCCGUGGUUGAUACCCGAUAUCUCAAAUUCGAAUCAUAAUUGAUUCGUAUUUUUAGUUAAGUACAGAGAGUGUAAGAAGAUGAAAAAAUAGGGUAUAUACCAAUUUUGGAUGGGAUUUUUUUUGUUAUAUUUUACCAAUUAACAUUUGCCCCAUUAGCAGCAUCUCGUAUUAAAUCUUGUCAUCUAAUAUUAUUUUUAAGGAUAAAAUUUUAAUUAAAAUAUAAACAGAAAAUAUUAUGAAUUAAUUAUAAAAAAAUAAAUGUUAAUAAAAAGCUGUGGAAGUUAAUCAUUUUUUUUUUUAUUCUUGUCAUCUUUAAAAGUCCAUAUUGAUGCUUCAGCCAUUUAGUAUUAUUAAGUUUCUGUUUUAUAUUUUUAUUUUAUUUAGAAAAACUGCGUUGAAUUUUAAGUUUAGGAACUAAAUACUUUUAUACUUAACAGAUUUAUUAUUUAAUAAAUAUAACUAAUUAUUUAUUUCAUUAAUAAUUAUAACAAUAUAAUAUAACUAAUAUUUUCUCAUAUUUAAUAAUAAUAAAACAAUAUAAAAAAUAAAGAAGACACGCCAAAAAAAAAUAAAAUAAAAUAAAAAAAAUCAGUCCCCAUCCCACGCCCCCCUCUCUCUCUCUCUCUCUCUCUCUCUCUCUUUGUAUGGAGAUGACGAGGCAAUGACGACUUAUGCAUUGUCCUUUAAAGGGACUGGUGAUCAGGGCAUGUCACUUCUUUAUCUUUCAAGGGAUCGAGUACACUUAUUACAUUUUUUAAAAAACACAUACUUCACUAGUUUUUUUCUUUUUUUCUUUUUUCCUUAUGGUUAUUGUAAUUCUCUCACAUAUAACUUCCUUUGAAAUCAAAUGUAGAUAAAAAUUCAUAAAAAGAGUUUAGCAAUCUAUCAUAAUAUACACAUAUAUCACGGACUGUUCCUAGGGCAAAUGGCAAAGGUCUUGAUGGUUGAUAUUCGAGACCCAAAUUUGAAUCCUAGUUGAUUCAUAUUUCUAGCUAAGUUUAUUUCUAAAUGAAAUAAACAAAACGGAUAGCAUGCUAUCUAUCUCUCAAAAAAAUAUACACAUAUAUCAUGUAAGGGAGUUUCGGAAGCUUCAAAAAGUACUCAAUCUUUUUUAAAAAAAAUGAUAGUAUGAUGUUUGUUUUGCUCAUCUUUUUAUAAAUAAAUUUAGCUAGAUAUAUAAAGUAACUAUAUUUCGAACUCGGAAUUUCAAGUCAGUGGCGGAUCUACUGUUAUCUCAGUGGGGUCAAUAGACCUCACUGAGAUAGCCAAUAAGUAAGGCUUUAUGUCUUUUUCUGACAUGUUGAUCCUAUUUUGGAAUUAAAAUUGCUCCCAAAAUAGGGUCAACAAAUAGAUAGAUAAUGAUUUUCUCUCAUAAAAAAAGGGUUUGAUAAUUGAUUAAAUCCAGUUAACCUAACAGAGUAAAUUAUGCAACUAUAUGUGUAAUCAAUUAAUAAACGAUUAAUAAUAAGUCGACGGUGAUGCUAUAUAUAUUGUUUUCAGAGUAUGAAAAUACAUUGAGAAUAAUUAUAAACAGAAAUAAUUUAUUUUUUUAUUUAUGUAAUAUUAAUGAGUAAUUUAUUCUUUUAGUUUAGAUUUUUAUGUUUUCUCUUUGUAAUAUAUUUGAUCUUACUAAGAAAAUUUGUAGUUCCGCCACUAUCUCAAGUACCACUUGCGCCAGAAAUAAUCAAUAACUUUUAGGUAUACUUUGUAUUUUAUUAUCAUCAGAAAAGAGAAAAGAAGCACAAAAAUAGUAAAACAUAACACUUGUUUCACUCUUUAAGGGGUGUUUGGUUCCUUCUCCAAAAUCAUGAAAAACUAUUUUUUCAAAAAGUCUAUCAUAGGAAGAAAAAAGUUUUUUAUAGUUAAUUUUUUAUAAAAAAAAAUUAAAAAGAAUCUAAUUUUUGUGUGAACUAAAUAAAUAAAAAAAAAAUUUCUAGUCAUAAACUAUUUUUAAAAAUAUUGUUAGGAAAUCUAACACCCCAUAAAUUAUUGAGAUAGCUAGAGAUGGGUCCAUUAGAGAUGUCAACGGGUCGGAUUCGGGGCGGAUUUUUAAAAACCCGAACCCGAACCCGACUCCAAACCCGAGACCCGAACCCGAACCCGAACCCGACGGAUUUUAAAAAUCCAUAUCCAAACCCGAACCCGAAAAUUUGAACCCGAAACAAUUAUUUCUUUUUUCAAUAUUUCAAAAUAUAUUAUAUUAAAUUUAAAAUUUUAAAAUACAAAUUCAAAUAUAACAUCAAAUUUAUAUAUAUAUAUUAUAUAUAAUACAAAAUAAAUUCGAGUUCGGGUCGGGUUCGGGUUCGGGUCGGGUACAAUCAAAAUCCAUAUCCGAAUCCAUAUCCGUCGGAUUUUUAUUUUUUAUAUCCAUAUCCAAAUCCAUAUCCAUAUCCAUCGGAUAUAUCCGUUUUAUUCGGGUUCGGGUUCGGAUAAAAUUUCGGAUAUCCAUACCCAUUGACAUCCCUAGGGUCCAUCUAACCUCCCACUUUGGAUUGUCCUGCAGCUUUUAGCUUUGUAGCACGUGAAUGAGAUGAGACUGGCACAAUAAGGAACUCUUGCUCUUCUUUUUCUCUUCUUGUUUUUAAACAAAAAGAAAACCUCCUGCGAAAAGCUGUUUUUUUUUUUUUCUUUUCUUUUCUUUUUUUUGUUUGGGUAAAAUACUAAAGUGAUUUUCUGUGCAACACUUUACAGGGUGAAUUUUGAAUAUUCUGAAAUAUUUUACUCUGCUUUUGAGUAUUUGGAUAAAAUACUGUAUUUUUACAGGUUUGAAAUAACGGCUAGUUUUUUUAAAAAAACUUGCCGUUAGUGUUUUCAAAAACUAGCUGUUAGACUAUUUUUAAUCUCAUAUAUAUACUCAAAGGUAAUGAAACUAACCAUUAUGAUAACAUAAAAAUAGUAAAAUAAUUUUAUAAUAUUCAAAAGUGGUAAAAAAACUAGUACUUUUGCUAAAAAUGAUCAUAUUUAUCAUAUAUAAAAUCCCAAUUCACCGUAAUAAUUCUCUUUAGGACAUGCUUCUGAUAACAUAACAGUAGAAAAACAUAAGACAUCUUUCUGUUUCGAUACUUGUUUUUCGUUUCUUUCAUAUCUUUUCUACUCUUUUUUUUAGUUUCUUUCUCUUUUGUUUCGUUAUUCCUCUAGACCCUACCUGUCUCACUCAAUGUAACUAAAUUCAAUUAUCUAAUGAAUAAAGCAUGCAGUGUGCUAUUCAUCUCUCAAAAAAAAAAAAAAAAACGUAAGAUACAAAUUUCUUCCAAAUCAUCUCUAACUAAACUAAACUCAUAUUUUUCCAAGCUCUUCAGUAAAUCCUUGAAUACAGUACAGCGUAGGAUACUAUAAUCAUGAAUUAAACUCAUUAUUUUCAUUAUUUUGCUUUAUUUCCUUGUUUUUUUAACAACAACUCUUAUUUUCUUAAGAAAAUACCAAUCGGGCCUACAUGGGCCUGCAUAUGGACCAGCACUGUCGAUCUUAGGCAAUAAAUGGGCCAAGUAAUGGGCUUUUUACGUUCUGUGGAAUGGGCCAGAGCCCUACUCGGCCUGCAAUAAUGGACCAACAUUUUAUUGUCCUGGGUUAGUGGACCCGCAAAAAGCCCAACUAAACAAAUCUCAUGUUUCAUCACUUGGGUAGAUCCGGCUCAAUAAACAAUCUAAUCACUUUGGCGGGGUCAUAAACUUGAUCCGAACCCUUUGGCUACUUGCGGGCUCGGGUUGGGUUCGCGGGUCAGGCUCCUUAAUUGUCGUCCCUAAAAAUGAAUUUCAAAUUGUUUAUGAAAUUAGGACCAAUGAAGAAUAUCCGGGGAAAUUAGUAGAAUAGUUAAAAAACCCCAGCCGAGAUAUUAUGCAAUUUGUGAUAAAAUCUUUCACUUAGACCAAGUCAUUAGUCUAAGUUAACGAGAAAGGCUUAUUCCAAUUGCAAAUGGGGAUUAAAAAGAAGAUUCCUGCAAUUGCUUGUAUCAACUCGUUUCUAUUUCUUAACCAUUUAAGGGAAAUUAAUUGGAACUCUUUUCUGAGUUCCGGCACUUGGGAAACUCGUUCUUCUUGCUUUGCUUCUGCCGUGAGUGACAACAGAUAUUAAAGUGGUUCAAAAAUAAAUUGUUAAUACGUGACUACAAGCAAUUAUGUUUAGUCAGCAAAUCUUAGUUGGGAUACAAAUUCUACAUAAUAUUAAUAUUGCGAGUUUCGUCGUGAUUUUUACGAAAAUGUUGUGAUUACUUAUAGAAAAACUUACAAUAGCAACAAUGUCUAUAUUUUUUUACGAGAUUCCUGGAGUUUUAUCUGCUGCUCUCGCUUUAUCUUUUAAUCAGACACCGCCUAAUGCUUUGACCAUUUGCAACUUUUGAAAGAUAGAAAGAUUAUUCGUUGUGUAUAUGCUCACUCAUAUAUCACGAAACUAACUUUUUAAUACAAAAGAAAGAAUCAUAAUGUUGUCUUAAAGGUGUGAUGGGAGCAGCCAACUUUGAAUUCAAAAUAGAAGGACAAGAGACAGUUACACUUUUCAAAGUAAUAGGCCCCAGCUCUCUCUAAACCAAACAAUAUAAAAAAUACUGAUUAGUGAUUACCUAAACACUCUUUUGAGUCCUAAUCCAUGUUCUCUUACACAGAUGAGGCCAACACAGCAUUGUCCACGUUCAUCCUCCCCUCAGCAGCACAUGCCCUUUUGCUUCUUUUUUUUUUUUUUAUAAACUCAAUUAAUGAACACAUCCCUAAUGCCGUCCAUAUACAUCCAACAAACGCUUUCCGCGAACAAGCUCCCUACGAACGCAUUAACAACAGCACGAUCUGUGUCGCCCCACUCUACUUUUAGUCCCACAUUUUUCUUCUUUAAAAGGGCCCCAAGAGAAGAGAGAGAAGAGGUGAGGAAGAAGAAGGGAAAUAAAAACGAAUAAGGAAAAAAAGAAAAAAAAAAAAAAAACUUCGACCUUUCCUCCAUCUAUGGCUUCCAUGGCGACCUCCUUCUCCAAAUCCCCAUCGUCGACCCACGCAUGCCCUAAUUCCUCCAAACCCUACCUCCGAUCUCGCCCCUACGUCACUCUCCCCAACCUCUCCGCCCCAUUAGCGACCCAACGGAUCCGCGCCGCCGCCGCGCCCCCCGCCGCUGCCGCUUGCCGCUCCACAACUUCCUGGAGCUGCUCGAACCGAGCCUCCUGGAGCUUGAUCGAGCCCGACGGGGGGAAGCUGGUGGACCUGGUGGUGGCGGAGGGGGCGGCGAGGGAGGCGAAGCGGAGGGAGGCGGAGGCGUGCCCUAGGGUUAGGCUUAACAGGGUCGACGUGGAGUGGGUGCACGUGCUCAGCGAGGGGUGGGCGAGCCCUCUCCGGGGAUUCAUGAGGGAAGCCGAGUUCCUCCAAACGCUUCAUUUCAACUCCCUCCGCCUCGCGGACGGGUCCCUCGUAAACAUGUCCGUGCCCAUCGUCCUCGCCAUCGACGACGCCCAGAAGCGCGCCAUCGGCGACCGCCGCAAGGUCGCCCUCGUCGACCCCAACACCAAUAAGCCCAUCGCCAUCUUAAGCGAGUAAGGCCCCUUUUACUCGAGCUCUUAAAGUUUUUUGCUUUACUCGUUUUUAUGUAUCGAUCGAUGGGCUGUUCAUGACAAUGUCAUGUUCAAUGACGAUGAAUGGAUCUGCUUGAAUGCUCGUGUGUUUAAAUUUGUUGUGUGUUCGCCUUAUCUUACAAAAUUUACUGAAGAAGCUGCUCUGCUAUUGUUUCUCAUAGUUGAGUUCAUGUUCAUAUUCAUGUUUUGCUCUUACUUAGAAGACGAUUUACUAUAAGUCUGGCCUAAUUUGCUUUAAUAGUGUGUUAUGACAAAAAAUUCUUCUUUAGCUAUUGAUAUUAAAAGUUUGACAGAGACAAGUGUCUUCUACAAUUGUUCGGCUAUUUGAGACUUAGGGUCUCCUGCUUGUUUUCGUACUAUCGUAGUUUACUAGUAGUUUUGACCGCGCGAAUUAAAAUAUACAUCCUUUUGGACUGCCAAGGCUAUCGUGCUGCUAUAUAAUAUAUUCACGAACCUAGGGCACGAACUUAUGGAGAAUACGGAAUAACGGCCAAAUUAAUCCGGGCCUCAUGUAUGGAUGGCUUCUUUGAGAAGAAACUGCUGGUAGACCACUUGAGCUGCCGCGUGGACCCAAUCGACGAGAAAAGGUAAGCACGGAUUUGAGAACCGCUGUAUGCCAAUCAGCACACUUUCGUGGUCCUUUCUUUCAAGAUACUAGCGCGCCAAUAUAUAUAUAGAUGGGCCCCAUAAAGCGAAUGUAUUAGUCGUUCAACAAAUAGUCUUCGGAGGCGAUAUUGGGUUAUUCGAUUUUUUUUUUUUUACAACAUUCGUCAAUGUGGACCCCAUCAUAAUUGUGUUGGUCUUUUAGGAUAUGUAGCUUGUGUUUUAUUCUUGUUGAGUUCUAUUAUAAUAUUAUGUUUUCCUAAGGCCAUUUAGUUUGCCAAUAGAACUAUGAAACCUAAUGCUUAUGUGUGGUGAUAGAAUACCCAUCCUCGAUUAUAAUUUCGUAACGAGAAAAGAAUCGAGCGCUUGAAAAUUCUAAAUUAAUGUUAGAACUAUGCCUAAUUCCAUUUGUUAUGUGCCUAUGAGAAUCCUGUUUAUGAGAUUUUGAAGAUUAAUUGGCGACCCAGAAGGUAGUAUCUCUAAACCCGGAUUUCUCAUCUCGUGCCCAAGUUUCCUUGGUUUGGGCAAGGGAUUUGCUUCCUCAGCGAUUCAGAUGUUGUUAAUAGCUUGUUGUCUGAUUCUACCGGGUCACACCAUAGGUCCUUUUCAAGGAGACAUGUUUCAGGGAAAAAGAAAAAAAAAGAGAAGCCAAUUUAUGGAUAUUGCUGAUGAAAUGGGCAUAUAUCUAAUUUCGUGAGUGUCUAAUUCAGGUGCAUUAUCUAAGACUGAUAGCAUCAAUGCCUUAGUUAAAUAUACACAACAUAUUUCAAACAAAUUAAAGCAGUUUCCUGUUUUUCACUUGUUAAAAAAAAAAAUCCUAAAAGACACUUGGAUUUGCAUUUGAUUUAUCAUUAGUGUUCUUCAAAUAUUUUUCUUCUUCGAAGACUUUGAGGUUAUUAUGAGAUUAUAAGCAAUACUGGGUUAAGUGUCUUGUCUUUUGCUAGCAUUUAGCUAUUCAGUAUUCACCUUGUGAAGCUUUUAUGACGCUCUGUAAUUCUUCAAAAAUGUUGGGUACUGAAUGAAAAAUGCCUUACGUCAAUAAGUCACAUGUAUCCUUAGAAUAAUUGUUUAGAAUGAGUUUUAUGAGCCCCUUCAUGAUCUAUAUGCUGAAAAUUGUUGUUUGAAAGCCAUCAUGAUAUCUUUAUGCAGAUGCUUUGAUAUUAAUUGGUGAAAUAAAUUUCUUUCCCUUGGAAUUACCAAAGUAACCCUUCCCACAUUUCUAUUUUUCUUUAGCAUGGAGAUCUACCAUCACAAUAAAGAGGAAAGAAUCGCAAGAACAUGGGGAACAACCGCUCCUGGACUACCAUAUGUUGAAGAAGCUAUCACCAAUGCUGGAAACUGGUUGAUCGGUGGGGACUUGGAAGUAAUUGAGCCGAUCAAGUACAAUGAUGGUCUUGAUCAGUAUCGGUUGUCACCUGCACAACUACGCGAAGAGUUCUCCAGGCGCAAGGCUGAUGCUGUAUUUGCUUUCCAGCUACGGAAUCCUGUACACAAUGGCCAUGCUUUGCUCAUGACUGAUACACGUAGGCGCCUUCUCAAAAUGGGCUACAAAAACCCCAUUUUGUUACUUCAUCCCUUGGGAGGCUACACCAAGGCUGAUGAUGUGCCUCUUUGUUGGAGAAUGAAGCAACAUGAGAAGGUUCGUAUGCACAAAUCAUUAUUGUUCUCUGUUUUUUCUUUAUUUCUUUUUUCCUUUUCUGUUUCUUCUUCAGAAGCAAUGUAUGGAAUGACCUUGUACAAUUCCCAUAUUGUAGCUGGGUCUAUUUAAUUCUCAUUAAAUGCUUCAAUCCCUGAAGUUAUAAAAUUCCAUAAAAAUCUUCUUUUUUUUUUUUUUUAAUUCUUGUGUUAUAUAACACCAUUUGACCCCUACUCUUGUAAAAUGUUUUCCUUGUUUCAGUUUAUAUGAAACGGAAUUAAAAGGUCAUUUUUCAGCAGAAGUCCACAAAGGAUAUCAUUGCAAUACAUGUAAUAAUUUAAGGAUUAAAGAGUUGAAGUGCUAAGUUCAUAUCCUUGAUGAACGAAGCAGUGGCAAGCUACCUUUUCUCAAACCAAGAAAAAAGGGUUUAAGCAGAAAUUUGGGGUCCAAGUCAAAAUGUUGAGAACUUGAGAUAGUACAGGAGAAUAUUUUAAUCUCCAUUUUAAUAAAACUGCUAGAGUAAUAUUGUCUAGAUUAGUACCAAAUCUGCAAUAAGUCGUUAAAUUUUUUUUUCCCCCUCCUUAUUGGUUUUGUUGCUACAGGUUCUGGAGGAUGGUGUUCUUAAUCCAGAGACAACAGUUAUUUCAAUAUUUCCUUCUCCGAUGCAUUAUGCUGGCCCAACUGAGGUGCAAUGGCAUGCAAAGGCGCGCAUAAAUGCUGGUGCAAACUUCUACAUUGUAGGAAGAGACCCAGCUGGUAUGAGCCACCCUGUUGAAAAAAGAGAUCUCUAUGAUGCUGAUCACGGGAAAAAGGUAUUAAGUAUGGCUCCUGGACUUGAAAGGCUCAACAUCCUACCCUUCAAGGUUUGUCAUCCUUUGACAACUCUUGUCAUUUUCUGUUAUUUUGCACACUCCAAGAUUAAAUGCUCGCUGCUUUCAUAUCUUCUAAAUUGUCUUCCUCAUAGCUAACCAUGCUUUAUUUUCACGGCCCCACAUGAUGUGAUUUUGUUUUCAAUAUGUAUUUAGGUGGCUGCGUACGACAAAAAACAGAGGAAGAUGAAUUUCUUUGAGCCAUCAAGGAAAGACGAUUUUCUCUUCAUCUCCGGUACAAAGGUACUGCUCUGCAAUGUGAAAAUAUUGGAAUCAACUUUUGAACACGAGCUAACUUGUCCCCUUUCUUUUUCCCCUCCAAAUUGAUCUCAAAGCAACCUUGUUUAUCUACGCAGAUGCGAACUCUAGCAAGAAAUAGAGAAAACCCCCCUGAUGGCUUUAUGUGCCCGAGUGGUUGGGAAGUACUCGUCAAAUACUAUGACAACUUGGCUCCGGGCCACAAGGUGAGAGAAACCGUCCCUGCUUGAAACUUGUACAGCUCUUGGGACUGCUGCAGCUUGAAAACAAUAAAUCCAGUACGUUUACAAGAUGAGCCGACCAAAUAAACUUGUAUCUACAUGCGGCAUAACUGAUGAUUUGUAAUUUGUGUGUCAAGAGGACCUGUCUGUAUCUGUCACAGGUGAUGAUUGUGCUGCCGCAGCACAUUUUGCUAUUGUUGUUGUACAUAAUAGUAUGUGUGCUUGUGGGAUCUCAAAUAUGUAACUGGAGCAAGUAGGCAUUUGGUUAGGGUUUCUAUGAGAUCAGCAACAACAUGUGAGAGGAAGAAGGAAAAGUAGAAUAUUACUAUCUAUACAUUUACGAGUAGCUAUAAAUCUUGCGCCUCUCCCAGUCAAUGAUUUAAAAACUUUUUUUUAAAGUUUUUAAUAUUGUAAAAAAAAAAAGUUUGAUAAGAAUGAUAAAAUAAAAUCGGCUUUUGGAUAGGUAUGGUGUAAGAUUUAUGCUAUACUAGUGGGUGUUUAGGUGGCAUUGCUUGAUAAAUUAAUAAAUGUGACUUGUAUUUGGAUAAUUUGCUGCGGUAUUAUUCCCUUGAAAGCAAAAGGACUUGUAGCUUAUUUUUGGUCCGAUGAGAAAUUGGUAUUGGUUGGUACUUGAAUGGAUCUUUCUAGGGCCGAUUACUAGUAUGCUCUUUGAAAAGAUUGAAAAAGGCAUAUACAAUAUACAUAUAAGAAAAAUAAAUAAAUAAGAAUUUGGGCAGACGCUGUGGAAUAGUCGUCGAUCGAAUAGAUGUGAAUGUUAUCGUUAUAAUAGCAAUCCAACGAUACUCGUUUGAUUCUCAUAUAUAUACGUUCAAUUAGAUUAAGACUAUGCUGUGCGUAUAGAGAUGCUUUUGUAUUGGAGCUAGUUUGUGGUCUCCCUACAGGACUUUUGUCCUUGCUGCUGCGUAGCAAAACAAAUUCUGUAAGCGCUUUGCAUCAAUUUCAUGGCUAAUGAGAUCGCGAAGAUAAUACUCAGUUAACUCUAAUUAACACAUCCUAUCUAACCGCAUAAAAAAGAAAGAAGAAAACCAAUAACAAAAAUAAAAAAGAUUUGAUCAGUACUGUCAACCUUCAACAAGUUAGGUAUUAAUUAAGGUCUGAAUGGUGUAGUACGUGCAUAAAUUAAUUAAUAUGCAGGAAUAUGCCUUUUUAGGGGAAAAGGCGCGUUGGAUCGACCGGAUCAGUUUGUUAAAAUUAACUUCAGGUAACCCAUAAAUCCACUCGAGUAAUUACCAAAAGUAGGGUUCAAUUAACCACGACCGUACGGACGCUCAUUCGUACUCUUUCCAUAAACAAAAUCUUAUCACUGCCGGGUAGAUCUUCUGCAUUAGAGUUGUUAAACGCAGGAAAUCCCACAAUUCCAAGACCAAUUAAUUCCCACAAAUUAAAAACGAUGUUCAUGCAUUUGAGACCUUCUACGAAGAAGGUGCAUGCACGAGGUGAUCUGUAUAUAUAUAUAUAAAUAUAUAUAUAUAUAUAUAUAUAUAUAUAUAUAUGCCCCUCUUAUUAACUUCUCUUAUAGCAUAUCCCCUCCCACAAAUACGGCCAUCAAUUUCCAACAUGAGAAGUAAAGACAGUUCCUCUUUUUGCUAAUGGGUAGGAGAAGUGAUCAUCGUAUUAUGUGUUGGCAUAUAAAAGUAGACGUACAGUGUACUUUGGCCUUUUCUCUUCUCCGCCCCUAUAUAUUUGGAGGGGGCCCUCCCCUUGUAAACUCAUAGGAAGUGGGAACAGGAUUACCGCACUACUGUUUUCUUCUUCUUCUUUAGGUUUGAAUAACUCUUCCUCUUAUCACUUCAUGUACGAGGAGAUAUACAUAGCCCGAGAGAUCGUCGAUCUCCAUAUAUAUAUAUAUAUAUAUAUAUAGCUAGCGUUGUUAAACUCUCUCUGUCUCCCACCUUUCAAUUACACUGCUGCAUUGAGAUAAUUAAGAAAGAAGCAACUAUGCGAUAGAGGGCGCAUGCAUUCUCAUUCUCAUUCUCAUUCUCAGUGCGAUGCAUGCAUAUGAUAUGGACUCGUCACGUGUAACAGUAAUAGUAUCCGACGACGACGUAGAAGUAGAAAAAGCAGCAGCAGCAGCAAGAAGCUCGAUUACAAUGCCGAGCCCACUGCAGGGAGGGCGAAAGGGCGAUGGUGAUGAGAAGAAGGUGAGGGUGGCGGUGGAGGGCCCGAUCAUAGUUGGGGCGGGUCCGUCGGGGCUGGCGGUGGCGGCGUCGCUGCGGGUGCUGUCGGUGCCGUUCGUGGUGGUGGAGCGGUCGGAGGGGCUGGCGGAGCUGUGGCGGACGCGCACGUACGACCGGCUGUCCCUCCACCUCCCGAAACGCUUCUGCCACCUCCCCCACCUCCCCUUCCCCCGCCAUUUCCCCACCUACCCUUCCAAGUCCUACUUCCUCCACUACCUCCACUCCUACGCCUCCCGCUUCCGCCUCGCCCCGCACUUCCGCCGCGCCGUCACCCACGCGCGCUUCGACCGCGCCCUCUCCCUCUGGCGGGUCACAGCGCUCGAACGCCGCGGCGCUGCUGACCCCAGCCCCAGCCCCAGCCCCAGCUCCAGCUCGAACUCGACUUCGGAGGAGUACGUGGAGUACGUGGCGCCGUGGGUGGUGGUGGCGACGGGGGAGAACGCGGAGGCGGUGGUGCCGGAGACGAAGGGGAGGGAGCUGUUCACGGGGAGGGUGGUGCACUCGAGCGAGUAUAGGAGCGGGGAGGAGUACAGUGGGGGGAAGGUGUUGGUGGUGGGCUGCGGCAACUCCGGGAUGGAGAUUUGUUUGGACCUCUGCGAGCACGGCGCCAUGCCUUUCAUGUCGGUGAGGAGUGGGGUAUGUCUAUUAAAAUCACUGCACUACUAUACUCUACUCUCUCUUUUGGUACAUGUAAAUACUACACCAUGUCAUUACUUUGCAAGUUUGUAUUUUGUUACCCUCGACUCGAUCGUAUCGUAUGUAUAUAUUGUAAUUAAUAAUAUAUGGGUGGUCCUUUAGCUUUUGCACUAAAAUAAUAGAAAAGCAGGAGGUUAGAUUCUAUAGAUUCUAACAUGUACAUAUGUUUGAAUUGUUUUUUCUUUUUUUUCUUUUUUUUAUAAGGUGCAUUUGCUGCCGAGAGAUAUGUUCGGAACCUCAACAUUCGGAUUGGUGACGAAGCUGCUGCAAUGGCUGCCCAUUAAGUUGGUUGAUAGGAUUUUGUUGUUAGCUGCGAAAAUGGUGCUGGGAGAUACGGAGAAAUAUGGGCUCAAGAGGCCAAAUUUGGGACCUUUGGAGACCAAACACAUUACCGGAAAAACCCCUGUUUUAGAUGUGGGAACUCUCGCCUUAAUCAAAGCUGGAAAGAUUCAGGUACGUAGUUUAUACUUUAUUAUAUAUAUAUAGCCCUUAAAUUCUGUUACAAGCUACCUUUCCUCCUUUGGUUUUUCCUUUUUUUAAUCGAAGACGAUACUUGUCCCUUACCUUUACGGCUUUACCUCAUUUUGAUUGAUUCUUAAUUUAAAACUUUAAAUUAUAUUUCAAAAGAAUAAUACUAGGUUUUUCACCUCCUAAAACUAUUCCUUAAUCACUUUUUAUUAAAUUGAUAGUUUGGGUUAUAUGGUUUCAGAGUCGGUCCUAAAUCCCUCAUUGUUCCAAAAAGUUUUGAACUUUUAUACUCAAAUCUGCUAUCUUGCAAUACAUAUUUCUAUUUUAUUGACGAAAAACUAGACCAUUUCACCUCAGGGAGGAAGUGUAAAUUUUUUUAAAAAAAAUAAUAUAAAAUAAUUAUUUCUUUCUAAAAACUUAAAUAUUGGCGUACAGUAUUUUAAUACUUUUAUUUUUAACAUUUUAAUUUUACUUGAGAACCAGCAACUUAAACAACUAUCUGCAUAUCCUAAAAACAUUUACCUCAAAUAUACAAAUUCGCUUCAUUCUACUCUCUCUCUCUCUCUCUCUCUCUCUCUCUCUCUCUGUUGCAAAUUUGUAAACUUGCCUCCUCUGUUUCCCCUGCUGAAAACUUCAGAUAGUACGUGAGGUGGAGUCACUGACAAGCAAUGGGGCCAGGUUUGUCGAUGGAAGUGAGAAGAGAUUCGACGCUGUGAUCUUUGCAACUGGUUACAAGAGUAAUGUCCCCUUGUGGCUCCAGGUAAAAACACUUCUUUGACCCAUUAGUGCACAUACUGAAAAAAAAAAAGUUUGUCUUGUUCUGACUGUUAAGACUAUUUCUAGACCGCUCUAUAAUAGAAUUUAGAUAAGACGGUAACAGAGUUAGUUCUAAAGUUUCUCUGUUACAAUUAACAUUGAAAUUUGAAUUUAUUUGUCACAUCUGCCAUUAUAUGGCAUGUUUUGAUUCAUUAUAUUGUUAUUAUCUUUUUCAUCAUAUCUCCGGAUCUGGCACAAUUUGUCUGACCCUUACCAUAUAUGCAUGUACUAGAUUGAUUUAAUAUAUAAUAAUCUAUGUAUAAUUAAUUAAUUGCAGGACUGUGACUUCUUCACAGAGGAUGGUAAGCCCAAGAGCCCAUUCCCCAAUGGUUGGAAAGGAGAGAACGGGCUCUACUGUGUUGGGUUCACAGGGAGAGGGCUUCAUGGCGCCGGGCAGGACGCAGUUAAAGUUGCUCAGGAUAUAGCUCAGAAAUGGACCAAUCUUAGCCACAACAACAACAAUAACAACAACAACAACAACAACAACGCCGUUACAUAAACUAUAUAUAUAUGACCCACUAAUUACUUUAGUGCUUGUGGAGAGAGAGGUUCUAAUUAAGAUAGACCAAAAGAAUAAUUCUUUUGAAUGGUGGCCAAAGUAAUUAGGAACUGUGCGAAGAUCUUCUUGCUUUUACUGUUACUACACCUCCACACGUCUUAAAUUUUGCAUAGGAUCUUCUUUUCACACACACACACACACACGCGCGCGCGCACACACACACACACAUAUAUAUAUAUAUAUAUAUAUAUAUAUAAUAUAUAUAUAUAUAGAGUAAAUCUUGUAUGAUAUUAGGAGCACAGAGGUCUCUGUACUUCUAACCCGUUUUCAAUGAUGAAGUUUCCGAAUUGACGAUCGGCUCCAUUAAAUUUGAUCUAACGUAUUUGAAGUAUCUAAAAAAUAAAUUUUACGGUUUUUCGACAUCAUUUAACUACCAAUCGAAAGGGUUCAAAAUCAACGGUUGAAAAUAAAAAUAUCACAAAAAUAGUGAUAUAAUAUUAAAAUUUUCGAUAAGAAAUAUUGAUCUUGCAGUAAAUAGUAUAAAAUUUUUUUUAUCAAAAUAUUAUCUGAUUUGAAUAUUUCUACAUUAUUAAACUUAUAAACGAUAUACAUCAACCUUUAAAAUUUGUUGAUUUUGAACUCUUUCAAUCGCUAGAUAAAUGAUAUCAAAAAAUUACAAAAUUUAUUUUCUAAAUAUUUCAAAUAUGAUAGAUCAAGUCUAACGGAACUGAUCGUCGAUUCGAAAGCUCCAUCAUCGAAAACGGUUUAGAAGCACAGAGACAUACGUACUUCUAAUAGGACACAAGACCUCCUCUCUCUCUAUAUUUAUAUAUAAAACAAAGCAGGCAUUAGUCCAAUAUCCAUGACAUCUGCAUUACGUUUGCAUUGGCUUUUCUCUGCUCUCUCUUGUGCUGUCACUUCUCCGGAUCUCAAUAGAGAGAGAGAGGGAGAGAGAGAGAGAGAGAGAGAGAGAGAGAGACUGGUUUGCUUUCCAAAUUCCAAUUGCUUUGUCCUGGGGACUUAGAGGAGCGCCUGGGGGCUUUGUCAUCAUCUGAGGAACUCUGAGGAGCUUCUCUUGUCUCUAUUAUUCCUCAGGUACUGGAUGUACUGAUACUAAGCAGAAAAGGCUCAGACACUGCUGCGUCAAUGGGCUCAUGCUUCUGAAAUCUUGGAGCUUCAUGUAGAAGUAGUCCUCGAAACUAUAGCAAAGCAUAUAUGUGUUAAGGGUAAGAGGAUCACGUUAACAUGAUUGUUUUGAGUGACAAAUGAUUGAACGGGGGGCUUCCACAUCCCACAGUUUCUGUGUUGUAUACUUGCAUGGUAGGAAAACUAGUGCCCCAUGAUGGCUAUUGGCUAACCGUUGUUGAGUCCAAGUCCAUCAUAAGGUGGUCAUUUGAGAGGUACGGAACAACUGUUUGGGAACAGAAGUUUUAGAGCUAUGUUGGUUGGAGCCCAGUACAGUUACAAAUGAGUUUUGUAAAUAGUAAAGCAAAAGGUAACAGCACUAGCUAGAUCAAACAAUUCAGUCCAAACAAUUAAUACAUCGAUCUGUAGAAUUAUAGCCCAAUUGGAAACAAUGAACCUUACAUGUGGAGAUAGACAUUGGAGUAAUUUUCGGUCUAUGAUAUGUAUACACUAGCGGAGGUGAUCUUCUAUGUAGCGGCGGCACUAUGUCACUUCGUCUCAAGCCAAUAAAAUUUCUUCUUUUAAGAAAAAUGUAUAUCAAAAUAUUUUCUUAAAAAUCAUGAUGAGAUGAGUGUCGCAACAUUGACGCUAAUCAUUAAGUCUAAAAUUACGAACGGUUAGAAAUAGGCAACAAAUUUACUUAAAAUACACAAAUAUAGCGCCAACGAAUUUCGAUUGUGAUUUGGUCCAAACAACCUUUCGCCACUUUUGAUAUAACUCAGCCCAAAGUGACCUCCCACCAUUUCGAACGUGAAUCGUUUCAACCUCAUGAUUUUCCGCCACAUAGCAAGAUGUUGACUCCUUUAAGCCAACAAUAACUAAAAACUUAGGGGCGCAAUUUGAUUGGUUAGGAAUAGAGAUGAUGUGGUGCCCCUAAUAUGUUUUAGAAUUUUUAGCAUAGAGGAUUAGACAAUCUAAUGCAUUACUAAUACAGUGUCGUUAAUUUGCAAGGCAAGAGCCAACUAUUUAUUGGCAACAAAUUAAUGGCCCAAAACCAUAGUUAGUUAAUUCGCGUUUAAUACGCGAAUUAUUCGCGAACUUUUGAAUACACGAAUUAAACGGACCGUUCCGUAUUUUUUUGAAAAGUUCGAAAAAAAACGCGUCUUCAUCCUCAAAAAUAAUUAUUCGCGAAUUAUUCGCGAUUCGGGAAUUAUUCGCCCAAAAAAACGGCUGUUGCGGUCCAGCCGAGGUUCGCAUCAUCGCCGCUCGUCGCCGAGCUCAUCCGGGUCGUCGUCCCCCUCCUCCGCCGCCCUGGCCGGCGCCGGGAGCAAGAGCUGCGACUGCAGAUCCGGCCUCAUCGUCCUCCUCCUCCGUCGCCAUGGCCGGCGCCGGGAGCAAGAGUGGCGGUGAUAGAUCCGCCCGAGGCCGUCCGCGGAAAAAAGAAGAGGAACAGUGCAAAAAUCGGAGCUUCUGGAUUCAUAAAUCAUACGCGGUCCACGAGGCCUCUUCUGCCUCGUGGACCGCUUGAGACCUCCCUCUCAUUACAUACACAAUUACACACACACACACACACACACACACAUAUCUAUAUAUAUAAAUAUACAAAUUUUAUUUUAUAAAUAUUUAUUUAAUAUAUAUAUAUAUUAUAUAAUAUAAUUUAUUUAUAUAAUAAUAUUUUAAUUUAUAAAAUUAUAAAUUUGUUUAUUAAUAUUUCUAAAUAUAAACUUUUAUAUAUUAUUAUAAAUGUUAUUAUAAUUUUUGAAUAUAUUUAAUCUAAUAUAAAAAUAUAAUAAUAAUUAUAUAGAUAUAUAUAUUUAUUAUAUUAUUAUAUAGCGAAUUUUUUAUUCCGAAUUUUAAUUGGUGAACGUAUAAUAUGCCGUAUAAUCACGUAUCCGAAUAAUUACCUGAAUCCGUUUUUAGCCGUAUUUUUUCAACGAAUUUAAAAAUUAAAGAGACAUUUAUCGAAUUAUACCUGUACCGAAUUUUUGCCGAAUCCGAAUUAACAACUAUGCCAAACCACACGAAAGGAAAAAUAUUUUUAAUUUUCCAUGACUACAAAAUACUCUAGUUUUAAAUAAUUUUACUCAACAAUACUACAUAUCUCCUCUUACAAAUUAUGAAGCUACAAGAUUAGAGAGAUGGUUAAGCAAUUAAUAAAUAUGGAUGGUUAAACCUUGAAAAGCCAACCGAAUCAUAUUAAGAGAGAGAGACAAGAUAGAGAAAAUAUCUGGGUCGGCGUUCACCGUGAGAUACAACUGCACCUUCUUCGUGGAUGUAAGAGGUGACGUCGAAAGGAUUAAUUAAGCGCAUUGAGUGAUCUUUUCCUCCUCCCGUUCCCCCCUCUCUAUUCAAUUCCCUUUUGCAUGGUACUCUAUGCCAUACUGGGGCCUCAUGACGCUCUCUCAGGAGCACACACCCACACCUACCCUCCCCCCCCCCCCCCCAACCAGACACAGAGAGAGAGAGAGGAGAGAGAGAGAGAGAGAGAGAGAGAGAGACGAGAGAGAAACAAGCUGCAGUGGCUGCGGGUGUGUAAUUAACCUGCUACGCCAAAAAACCAUUAGGCAUUAGCUCUUCUCCCGUCACCAUCACCCCUUCCCCCUCGUACGUACCACUCAUGCGCUUCUCCUCUAUCAUAGCUUCAUCAUCACAUGCAUCUCUAUUUUCUGAUUUGUUGUUUUAUGAAAAAAAAAAAAAAAACUUUGCAAUGUGGUGGUUUGGCUUUUGCUACCAGCUAUUCUAGCUACUUCUGCCCUUUUAUCGUAUACGUCAUAUCCUGCAUGCACGUACGUCAAACAUGAAUGUACUCUCGUACACUGUCGCACACGCACACAGAGAGAAGCGCUUAUGCUUUGGCCUCUGGGUGCAGUGAUACUUAGGUUUGCUAAUUAAAGGUUUUCUAUUUAACAGAUUAUAGUUUUAUCUGCCCCAUAAAAUCUAAAAAAUUGAGUUAUGGAACUGUUGAUUUUGAGACACAUUUACCGCUACUCUACACAUGCAUUAGCAACACAACAAAAAGACGAACUAAAGUUUCAUGAAGUUGGUACCUAGUUCAAGUGACAAAAAUCGUCCUUAGCGCAAGUGACAAAGAGUUUGGUGGUUGGUACUGAGGUCUCGAAUUCGAAUACUAAUUAAUUCACACUUUCAACUAAGUUUAUUUUUAAAUAAAAUAAAUAAAGCAGGUUGCAUAUAUAGUAUCUAUCUCACAAAAAAAAAAAAGUUUCAUGUAGUCGGAUUACUAAUUAUUCAUGCAUUAUUAAUACAACAUGACUGAAUAAUGGAAUGCUGGAAUGCAUUUUAAGAAAAGGUACCAAAUGAAAAUAAAAAGUUCAUUAUUAGCUUGGCUUUUACUUAAUCUUCCUAAGCUCAAUAAAAUUAAGGUGUGUAUAUAUUAACUCGCAUGUGCAAUGAAUAUAAAUCAUCCAAUUGAUCGAUACUGUAGAGGGCAAUGAAUAUAAAUCGCCCAAUUGAUCGAUACUGUAGAGGGCGAUCGAUCAGACAUUGAUGAGUAAGCAUGCAUGUAAUUAAAUUGACCAAUUAAUAUCAACUAAAGAUUCUUUAUAAGAAGAAUGUUUUGCUGCACUCUUAGGAUAGAUAAAUAAAAUGAGAAAGAGCUUUUAUGUGUAUGAGGCACCAGUUAGGAUAUUCCCUUUUGUGAUGUGCUCGGCUCGACUAUGCGUGUGUACAAAAUAAAGAAGUUCUUCUCAUUUUUAUUUUUUUUUUAUAUCUUUGGUUGUAAGUGUCGUUAUAUACCGCAGCUUAGGGACGGAUGAAGAGGGACGGAUCAACGUGGGGAUUCUCUUCUAAGCCUUGUGGCCUUAUGGGUCAAUAAGGUUGACCGAUGGGCCCCACCAUCUUCCUCGCACCUAGUUGAUCUAUCACAUCGCCCGUGAGGCCAAGUACGUACGAGAAAGAUUGUUCAUGGGAAAGAGAAAUGGUAAAUGGAACAUGCAAAACGUACGUGUAAAUUUUGAGAAAUGCUGGAUGCAUGCAUUCAUCCAGCAUUCCAAGUAUGUACCUUAUAAUAUUGUUGAUGGAUUACAAGGAUUUAUGUGCCUCGGCACAAGUUAAGCGUCAGAAAUUUACUAGUACAAUAUGGUACUGUGCAUGUCAGAUUGUGCCGAUGCGUGUCAUUCAAAAAAAUAAAAAGUAUGCCAAUAUAUAAUAACAUAAAAAAUUUAUUCUUUUAGCAAUAAAAUAUUAUAACUGUUUAUUAUAUAUGCUUGUCAAAAUUUUUGAACUUUAUGGAGAAAAUUAUUUACUAAUUUAAAAAAUAGAGAUUUUGAGUUGUGCCAUCUGUAUGGGUGCUAUAUCGUACCGAUAUUUUAUUUGCACAGUAAAUACGGUCUAUACCGAUUGGCAUUUAAAUUCUUGAUGGAUUGGAAUGCAUAUGUGAAGUGUUUAGAGUUUAUAAUUUAAGGUGCAAUUAAUAAUAGUACUAAGGAUUUUGCAAUGGUAUUUGGAAUUUACUAAUUAAUGAUGUUUAGAGUAUAAUAAUAAUGACAACAUGUCAUUUAUAACAUUGCCGGGAACUCUAAUGGGGUACUUAUAGCAAUGGUCAAAUUUUAUAUACUUUUAUCCAUUACUCUAGAUAUUUCUUAAAAUUUUUAUAUUAAAAAAAUAGUAUAAAAAAUAGUUGAAAUGUACAAAUAAUAUUGCUCUGAAAUACCUCCAAAGUGAAUGAUUUUUUGAAAGAUCUCCGCAUGCAUAAUUUGAUUGAAUAAUAUAUUUUAUUUACGAUGUAAUUUAUAUUACUAUCAAAAAAUAAUUUAUGGAUUGAAUAUGAUAUUUUCCUUUAGAUAUUUUAUCACACUAAUUAUCUACCAUAUGACUUUUUUAAUUAAAUCAAAGAGAAGGUACAAUAAAAUAUUCAUAUUUUCAAAUUAAGAGAUCUUAAAUCUCUUUUUAAUUUCUAUUAGGGUGCUUUUGGUUCGCGCUAUCUUUUAAAGAUUCCUAGUAAUUCAAUGGGAAUAAAAAAAUAUGACGGUGUUUGGCUAAACGCACUAAGUAAUAUAGUUGGUAAUAUUGAAUUCACUUGGGAAUAUGAUUCACCCCAAAGUACUAAUCUCAUUCUCUUGAGGGAGGGUGGGUAUCCUCAUAUUAAUGGAUUGGGAAAAUAAUAAUAUGUCUAAUUUUUUUCUUUCUUCCUACCCGCCGGCUAAUUGAUAUUAUUUUUCGUUACACUCUAACCUUAUAUCUCUCUCUAAACUUAUUUUUCUCUCUAAAAUUCAACUUUUUUGCUCUCUCUAAACUAAGCUUUCUCUCUCUCUCUCUUUCUAAAAUUUCAACUCUCUCACUCCCUCUAAUUUCGACUAUGUUUUUCUAUCUAUUUUUUUAAUUAUGCUCUCUCUCUCUAACUUAUACUCUCUCUUCCUUUUUUUCUAAAAAGAUGUUGAAACUUUUGGUAACAUUAUCUAAAAUUAAUUACAUAAAUAAAUUAAUUAAUUAUAUAUUUUUUGUAAUAUUAAAUAACAUGACUAAUUAAUAUUACCAUGCGAACCAAACAUAGGAAUUCCAUAUUCUUAGUAAUAGAAUGAAUAGGAAUAAGAUUCUCGGAUAUUUUUUAUUUCUAGUAAUCUUUCAUAAUGCGAACCAAACGCACCCUUAGAGUCAACUAAUAUAAUGGUGUAAAUAUUUCAUCCUAACCUUUUCAUGGCUAGGAUGCCCUUACUUGUCUUAUCAUUUUUUUUUUUAUUAUUUUCUGUUAGUAAAACCAUAAUAGAACUUCUAGGAUUUAAAGUGUGUAAGAUAUACAUCUUAUGUGGGGUGUGCAUGCAAUAAUUUUGCUUCCUCUUUAUUGCAAAUUGGCCCACGAUGAAUGAAGCUGAUUUGGUAGGAAAUAAAACAAAAGCCCAUGUUUGCUUUUGUACAAAGGAUCCUCGGACCGCAUGGGUCCCAUGAAAUCUAUUAUUUGAUUUGAGUUUUUUGUAGUUUUUUUAUUUUAAUUAGAUGUAUCAUUUAUCUGAGGUUCAUGAUUACUUUACAACAAUUAUUUUAUUAUUUCUUUCUGCAUUUUAGAAGAAUAAGUUUUAAACUCAAUUUUCCAACAUUGAGAUGGAAAGCUCAUUUGUAAUUCACCAUUAAUAUACCCUACAUUCUUGAGGCCUCCGUUGCUUUAUUUAUCUUGCCAAGUUCAUAUUACUUUAUGAAUAAAGCAGAUAGUCUAUUAUUUUUUUCUUAAAAAAAAAUUAUCAUCGCCAGUCCCUCUGCAAAAUUAUUUGAUGAUAUUUGCUAACAUAGCAUGAUUUUCUCGUGCAAUCUUUUUUAUGAAUCUUAAAAUAUUUUUUUUUUUAGAGAUAAAAAGUAUGCUAUACGCUUCGUUUAUUUCAUUUAUAAAUAAACUCAGCUAGAAAUGUAAAUCAACUAGAAAUCGAACUUGGAACAUCGAGUAUCAACCACCGAGCUCUUUGCCACUUGCGCUAGGGACCGUCGGUAUGGAUCUUAAAAAGUUAGAUUCAUUUUCUUU
RNAcentral lists this long non-coding RNA (57876 nucleotides) under Ananas comosus (pineapple). RNAcentral describes it as "long non-coding RNA (ACOM_LNC022704)". The stretch from base 23645 to 23770 matches the Rfam family "MIR167 microRNA precursor family". The record is from RNAcentral. Lineage: Eukaryota; Viridiplantae; Streptophyta; Magnoliopsida; Poales; Bromeliaceae.